Molecule: long non-coding RNA, 81585 nt
Filed under: Oryza sativa (Asian cultivated rice)
Lineage: Eukaryota; Viridiplantae; Streptophyta; Magnoliopsida; Poales; Poaceae
Source: RNAcentral
ACGAUGAUGGAGAGAGGGGCGACGAAGACGGCCAUGGAGAAGGCGAGGCAGACGCUGCCGAGGAACUUGACCUGGUGGGGCUUGGGGACGAGGUAGAGGGUGGUGACGACGAUGAGGGCGAAGGCGGCGACGUCGAGGAGGAGGAAGAAGGCGAGGGUGCGGAGCCUGGCGCGGCGCGGCGCGUAGACGAGGUAGAGGACGAUGUAGGCGGCCUCGACGCCGCAGCCGAAGGCGUUGAUGGUCAGCAGCGGCCUCGAGUUGGUCUUCACCAGCGCGUAGAAGAUCCACAGCACCGAGCUGAAGAGCGCCACCACGUACGGCACCGAGCUGUACCCUCCCGUCGACUUCUUCUUGUACACCUGCAAGAACGUCGCCCUGCAAUUUUUCAGAGAUAUAAAUUCCAGUUCGUCGUCAGAGAUAUUCAGAUGUUUCUCUCGAGAUUUUGAUGGUGACAGUAGGAAUGGAGUACUCACACUGGUGCAAGGAACACCAGGAAGGAGAUGAUGUUUCCUGCAAAAGAAACAAGACAGAAAACGACAUCGUUAAUUAAUAUAUGAUCAGUGGAGUAACAUUCUUUCAGAGUUUCAGCUGGUUCACACGGAUGCAGAUAUGUUAGCUAGGUUAGGAUAAAAUAAAAUAAAAUUUUAGUUUGCAUAUAUAUACACUGUCAGUAAGAUAGUAAUGUUCUUUCAGAGUUUCAGAGAUGUUAGCUAGGUUAGGAUCGAGAAUUGAAACUGGUUGAUGGGUCAUUAAUUGGUCAUUUUUGUUUACUGACAAAAAUCAAAUCAGUUUGUUACCACCUAGCUAGCUCUGCUUUUGUUUAGUGACAGCGACGAAGAGGAGCAGAUGCACGCCUCCCUCACUGCUCAACCGAUCUCCAUUUCAAGAAAUCGGAAUUAAAUUAGCAGAAGCUAAUCUGGGAGCUAGCUUAGGUAGAGUACUAGAGUGCAUGCAUGUUGAGAAAGUUGGCAAUACUAAUUAAUGACCUAUGUGUGGAAUUCCUAGCUGAAACAAACCCUGCUUAAUUUGAUGCAAUUAUGCAGCUAGAUAGUAUAUGUGUUUAUGUUUGUGUGGCCAGAAACUGGGCAUGUGUUGAGGCAAAAAGGUGAAGAGAGAAAAAGUGCUAGGUCUUUUGAAGUGAGAUUCCUGCUCCAUGCAUGAGCUGAAGCUAGGGAAGUGACUUGUGCCCAUCACUUGUAAACAAGAAAAAAGCAGAUCAAUGGAGACAGAAAGCUCAAGAACACAAGGACAUAAAAAAAAGGAGAAGAUUUUUUAACAACAUUGCCCUGCUGCACUGUGUGAACUGCUGAACAGAUAUGCAUUCCUAGAAGCAUCAAAAGCGUGUGUGUGCUGUGCACAAUGCAAUGGUGCAGACAACAACUAGUGUAUGGAGAAAUUAAACAGCAAUUAACCUGAAUUUGAUCAUUAGCAUAUGAAAACUAAAAUGAUCUUCAGUUGCAUUUGUCCAUGGAUGAUCAUGGCUGUGAAGAUGAUGAUGAUGAUGAUGAUGAUGAAAUUAAGUUUGAGCAUUAUGCAUUGGUUGCAUGCUUUACCUGCAACACCGGAGAGGGUGACCGCCGGGUUAGCCAUGGACAAGAAACCUCCUGCCAUUGCUACUGGUGAUGAAGGUUAUUAACUAACUCUAAGGUGUUAAUCAGUGAGAAGGUUAGGAAGAGGAGAGGAGACACCAGCUAGAAACUAGCCAGAAAUCCCUUCCAACUUCCUGACACAAGAGAUGCUAGCUAGAGAGGAAGGCUUAAGUGCUACUACAACUGCAUGUGUGGUUUGGCCUUGGCCAUGGCUCAGUGUUUAUAUAGUUGGAGACCCUCCACUUUUGGUGGUGUACAGUAGGGGGAGAUGCAUAUCUAACCUUUGCUUUUUUUUCUUGUGCUUGAUAUUUCUUUUUCACUCUGAUAUAUCAUUUAUAUGAAUUUUCUUUUUCUACCUCUAGAUCUGUCCCUCUCUCCACUACUCUGAAUAUGUGGUCAUAUGAAUGCAUAACUGAGGGGCAAUAUGACACGUAUGACCACUCAGUGUGUCUGUUGCCAUUUGGAGAGCUGGAGCUCUCAUAUAGGUUUCUUUUACUUGUUACAAUAGUUGAAAUGUUAUUGAAAAUUUUCUUGAUUUGUGUAGUUUUAUUUGUAGAAGGAUGUACAACCAUGGACAAUGAUGCAACUUAAUUAGUAACAUGUUGGGUGAUCCAUCAAUCGACUUCUAUCGUCAGAAAAGAAUUGCAGAGUAGUUCGUGUGCAAUCAAGUGACUAAGCUCAAAUCGAACAAAGAGUUAAUUCACACACUGUUCAAGAAUGAAUUGAGUGCAAUAACACUGAUAAUACAAUCAGCACAUUUAUCAAAGAACAUGAAAAUAACAGAGCAGAGGGAAGUCAUCAAAUAAAUCUCAUGAAAAGAACAGAGGAAGAAGGGAACAUAUGAAAGAGAAGGGUAGUCCCUUUCACCAUGAACAAAGUGCUUUGGUGUUCAAAAGAGAGAAAAAAAAGAGCUUCUAACAAUUGCAGCAUUAAUUUCUUUGUAUCAGCAUCUGUUGUACCACUAACACCAACAUGCCAAGAUGUUUUGCACAAUUCACUCUGCAGGUUUUCAAAGCUAGCAAAAGUGACGGAAUCUUCAUUAAGAACCUUAACUAAUUUCUUGUCUAGCUAAUUAAACCAUAAUAUGCCUAUUCUUAGAGAGAGGUAACUUGAAGAAAGGGAUAUGUCAGUUUGUUGCCGCAACAUUAACUCUGCUUGUUAGAUCGAUCUUAAUUAGGUUACUGACCAGAAGCAUUCACCUUUUCCUGAAGUUAUGGAAUGCUGAUCAAUGGAAUUAAUUCCAAAAGCUAGCCAACAGUUUGUUAGCAACAGGUUAUUUGGCGAGUAAUUAAUUCCAAAAAGCUAACCAUGUUUCAUCAUAAGUCAGUUCUGUUCUCCCUCUUCAUUCUCUCUCUUUUAAAUUACUAAAAUAUCUGACUAAAGUAAUUUUAUAGUCCUCGAGAAGCUAGUACUAAAAGUUAAUAUAUUUUAAUAUAUUUUCUAGUGUAAAAUUUCAUAACUCUCACUACCUCACAUAUCAGGAGGUAUCAAAAUUUACACUAAAAGAUUUGGUACCUGAUCGUAAAAUUUCUGAUCUAAUUCGCAUUGUUGAGAGAAUUGCAUAUCCUAUCUUACUAUAAAGUUAUAACCCGCUAAUCCUAAAGCUCAACAUGCAAACCCACCACUUCAUCGUCCACUAGCAAUAGUUACAUACAAAACUUAUGUAAGCAUGCAACAUCAUAUGUAAUUCAUUGAAUUCUACAAAUCAACAUCCAAUCAUCUUCCUUCACAUUAUUUUUCACAAUACUUUUAACAUAUCCAUCAUUUUUAUAAUAAUUAACAUAUAUUCAUCCAUAUAAUCAAAGUGCGGGAUAUCAUAUUUGAUCUACAAUCUCAUACAGAGUCUACUAAAUUUAUUUCUCUCUGAACAUAGUUUGACAAACCAGUUUUAUUUGUUGUUAAAAGCUAAUAUAAUUUUUACUUUUAUCUCGAUUAUUAAAAAAAUAGUCACUUAGUAAUUUCCGCAGCAAAGCGCAGAGAAUCACAUAGUUAGCUAAUGUUGCAAGUGCCCUAUGAAAAUAUUUGUCAACAAAUCCAAAUGUUUGCUGAAAACGGGCAUGCAAAAAAAAAUCGAUAAUGCCGUCGUACUAGUUUAUACAAGCCAAAAAAUUCACCUCCAACUAAUCAUUUCAUAUUCCCAAGUGUUUACGCCAUGCAUAUCUGUAACAAAGAAAUUUCACAAGAUUCAGUAAAAGUUCAACAGUAUCCCUCCCUACUGACCCCACUAUCUUGAAGGUGGCAUUGCUAUAGAAAAGAAAAAUCAAAAUCCCAUUUCGCCUCCUUGUUUUGGGGCUGAGAAUAUCAUUCCUCGUAUCCUAAAAAGAUGAAUGUCAUUCGCAAAGAAGAUCUUUGAUGCAAAGAGAAAACUGAUACAGUGAAAAGUGUAAGAAAAGUUGCCCAUAUAUAUGUGUGUUCUAAGUAUAUGAACAGUUUAGCCGACAAGAGCAAAGAUUUAUAUAUGUAUUGACUACUGGUGGGGUAAACUUGAACACAGAAUACAUCAGCUUCUUCCAUGAACACUGAAAAGUGCUUCAUCAAUAACAGUACUGCACAUUCUGUCCUCCACUGAGCUAAGACCAGAGCUCCGAUUGGAGGAGGAAAUAUACAUAGUGGAAUCGUACAUAAGUACAAAUUAUCUGUUGAAACCGUGUGAAUUAGCAGUAUUAAUUAGCUACCUAGGAAUUAGCGGUAUUAUUAAUUUGUAAUCAAAGUUAGUAUAUAGUACUUUCUUGUUUGAACAAUGUAGCUGCAAUGAUUGUAAAUUAUUCAGUGUAUUUACUAGCAGGAAUUUGCUGCUUAAUUUCAAGAAGAUACUGGAUGUGAUUACUAUAUGUGUUAAUAAGGAUUUUACUUCUGCUUUUUGCAUAUUCCCCCAAAAUUAAAAGGGAUUUUACUUAUAUAGAUAUUAGAGAAAAGUCUGUCCUGAAGGUCUUGUCUAUUUGAUUGGAAAUCGACGUUGGAGAGGUAGGUGUUUGAAAAUUCAGAGGUUGUUAUACCUUUCCCUGGAAAAAAAAAACUUUCAGAAAUUCAGAGGUUGUUCUGCAAGCCUUCAUAUCGAUCAUUUGUCUCUGACCCCAGAAGAGAUUUCAUGCCAAGAGACAAGCUAACUUUUCACAAAAGAAAAAAGGGGCCAAGAAAAUAAGUUAUUAUGUCUUCCUCUUUUUCUUCCCAAGGGACUUGGAAUGCAGAGUUUGGGUCCCUUGAGGAAUCAGGAUUUCAGGUCAUACCACCUGCAAAAGCGCGUCACAUUAUUGUCAUGCUUUCUUAGUUUUUUUUUCUUGGCAUGGAUGAUUCAUACUUUCUGGGCAUAUCGACAUAAUUCAUGUCUUAUAUAUCUAUAUAGGUCAUGCAAAAUGGAACUCAUAUAAAUGUAGAGAAAAGAUGCAGACGAAAUAAGCAGGAUGUAUUUUUCCAAAAAGAAAUGCAAGGAAAACAGCUAACAAGUGCAUGCAAUUUAACACAUAGUUUUCUUAUACACAACAAGCAUGCUAAAAUUGUAAGUGAAUGGCAAUCUUAGCACAUUUGCACUUGUUCAACUAGGACAGUUUAUGCCCACAGAAAUGCAUACUACAAUAAUACUAGUACUAGUACUACUACUAUGUAUGUUCCAUAAACCAGCUAUAGCCCAAGAGAGUAGAUUUGCUUAUAACUUACAAGAGUUUAUGUGGAUAUGUAGCUGGCCUCCAAUUCACCUGUUUCCAAAACUUGGUAUAUGAAUGCAACACUUAUCAAUAAAUGUAAUGACACCUCAAUAUUCUCCAUCAACUCCACUAUGCAAUAAAAAUUCAGUCACCCAGUUACAGAAAAUGAUUGUGAAAUUUGUUGCUUGCUUGUAUAUCAGUAUGGUUCGUCUGUUAUGCUCCAUAUCAAAAUUAGGCAAGAUGGGGAGCAGUUAGUUCUUAUCAUGCCAAUAUUAACUACCAGUUGUUCACAAGGCAUGCAAGAUGAUGCGCAUAAAUAUAUGUGUUUCCAUGCUAAUAAGACAGCUACAAAGAUGUUAAGUUGUUAUCUUAUCAUGCCUAAAACUCCAAAAAGGAGAACUUGAGCUGGAGAUUCUCCACAACAGCUCUAGUUUUGACUCUAGUGCAGAUGUGCUGUAAAAAACAAACUCUUAGGCAGCUCCAGCUCUCCAUUUGUUUCUGAAACCCUACCAAAAGGUAAGUGUGCUUCUCCAGCUUCUUGUACUCAAGGUGGUUAAAUGCUAUCUUGCUUAAAGAAAGAUGGUGACUGAUGUUUUUUUCUUCAAUGUAUCUAAACCAGUAGAAUUAAUAGCACAUGGUUUUUCAGUUGGAGCAUGUUAAAUUUGCUCCCUUUCACUAUCUCUCUCUGAUGCAACUACACAUCAUGAACCGGUAGACUGAAAGUUGUGGUUGAUAGUUGCCCAGUACAUGUUACCAGUGAGCAGUGGCUGGGAAAUGCAAGUGAGAAGCGCACAGAGGAGUUGCCCACUAACUCUGGUCAAUGAGAUUAGUUACACUGUGCACCUUAACCAAAAGGUGAAUUUGCAUAGACUCCCCUGGUUAAUUUGCAGUGUGCAAACAAUUAAAGGUUGCAAACUUCGAAAGAACACUUCCCAGUUUGAGGCUCUGCCCUGUUCUUUGUCGAGGAAUGUGUGAAUUGUUGACCGCGCACACUUCUCGAGCUUUUAAACGGUAUGGUUUCUAUUUAAAAUUUCUAUAUAUGAUUUUUUUUUAAAAAAUAUUAUUUUUAAUCCAUUUUCAACUUUAUGAUAGUUAAUUCAUCCGUUUGUAACCUCGAAUUAUUGUCGAAAACAAUUCAAUUAUUUAGCCACUCAUCACAUAAUAACAUACCACGCGAGAUGGGAUUGAGUCCUAUCGCUCGCUCUCAGAUAGAUCGUUAUCUCUCAAUUCCCUAUUCAAGGAAAUUUGGAAAUGACACGGAUUAUCGCUAUGUCUCCCCCUUGUCAUUUUUCUUUUCUGUCUAGGGGCCUGUCUAGGGGAGUUUAAGAUUCUGAGAAGCAGCUGCUGAGAAGCUAGCUGGUGAGAAUCUGGAGAAGCUGGAAAACCCAGCUUCUGACUUCUAGUUCAUUUUUCAGAUUCUACAACUACAUAUUCUCAGAAUCUAGGUAAAAAGCUGGAUAGUUUAGGAGAGCUUCUGGCAACUGGAGAUUCUAGGAGAAGCUGCAGCUGCUAGAAGCUCCCCCAAACAGGAGUCCCUCUCGCGGUCGCAUGUCAGCAAUGCAAAAGAGGAUCCCCUUGUCGCAAUCCCGUAAUCCCCUCCCUCUGGUUAGGAGGCAUGUGACAUGCCUGAAUCUUUCGGUACACCCCCUGAUCGAUCGAUCUCUCCUGGCCAACGAGAUCUUCAUCUUACGUGGUUAGAUCAGGAGGAAGAAGAACUGAUCGAUCGAUCUUGGCAUCUUGCCAUGUCUCUUCCUGAAAAUGACCAAAAGGAGAGAUCGAUGAAACUGACCGGAGUAAACUGCUCAUGCACCUCCUCAACAACCAUGCCCAUACAGGCUGAUUUGGCACUGACAAUCCAUGGCAGCCAAACGCAUGGGCGCCACUGCUUCCAUUCCAUCGGCUCUUGACCACCUCUCGAUCUCCAUUGCCGACCGCUCAUCCGAGCUGCUGCUUGCCACAUGGCAGCUGCUACAUGUGACAGGUCCAGAAGGAAACACUGCUUGCUGCUAGCAGGAUCCUGGCUAGGAUCUUCUGCCCAUGAACAAAGCAACAGUGCCUUGAUUAUUGUGAAAACUUAGCUUUCAAUAAAAUCUGGAAGAGGUUGUGUAUAUAGAGAAUUAUGGAGUACCGUUUACAGUGCUUUAUACCAGUAGUAUUCUACUACCAGUAUUAUCGUCAGUAGAAAUGGUUUUAAACGUUGAUUUAUAAGUUCUAGUAGUUGGUGUGGUAGUAUAAAUCGGUAUGAUUUAUUCGAUUAGAAAAAUUAAACGGUUUAGAUUGGUUCUACUAUGUUUAGAGAGAAUUGUAAAACACCUCAAAAUUAUAAUGAUGAAAAUUUCCUUCAUCUAAUGUGUAGUCUUUGUACAACAUUGUUAAUGUACAAUUGUUCAGUGUAUCUUGUACUGUAGUACUGUAGCUGUUUUUUUUUUGUCAAUUUUUGAUUAAUUAGCUUUUUGUGUUUUAUUCUGUUUCUUGUAAAUAUCUGUACGUGUGGUUGUCAAGUAAAGAAAAAGAGUUCAGAGACGCUUUAUACACACGUUUGGAUACUAGUUGACCAGAAAAGUUCAAUCAAAGUACAUGAGUAUAUAUUAACCUGUGGAGAGAAUCCCAACUACUAGCUAAAUAACUCCACAAACAAAGACAGAAAACUUUGUAGCCAUAGAACUGUCUAGGGCCCCAGCUGAACAAUCUCUGAACAAAAAAGGCACUUAAUUAUUUAAUUACCAUCUAAUUAAUCUAAAACUGAUGGAUGGAGAUCAUAGGCCUGUCACUUCUGGGUCCCCUGAUAUCGUCAGGCAACAAGCUCCUCUUUUUGACUACCAGUAGCAAUCACUGAGUUAUUCCCCAAAAAUGAUUUCUAGUGAAAAUAAAUAUACAGUUUAGGAGAUUUUUUUUGUUUGCUUUGGAACAACUAUAACUAAUUUUAAAAAGUUUUUUCUUUUUUGAGAGGUGUGGUGGUGAUGGGUGAAUUAAUGUGCUCUUAAGGAAAAGCCUUGUAACACACAUGCACAAAUAGGAUUCUUUCUUACAACAAGCUGUUCCUGAAAAAGGAUUCAAAACUCAAAACAAGCAGCUACACUUUAAUUUGUCAUGGAAAACCCACGAGGAGAUAAUCAGUAGCUUUUCCUUCAGAAAAGUGCAAUACCUGUAAUAAUUAAGCAGCGGUUCACUUUUUCAUAGACAAAUAAGCACACCAGUUACAUAUAUAACAAAUGCAAAUUAAUUUCAGAAACAAAUGUGUUAACAUCAUUUUAAAUAUAAUCGAUGAAAGUUUUAUUAAACUCAGCCAAUUACAUCAAACUGAUAGAAAUAACCAUGCAUCUGAACACAUGUGUUAACAUCUGAACUUCUGAAGGAUGAUUCAAUUCAGAUCAGCACUGAAUCAUUUUUUUUCUGAAGACAAUGAAAUCUUAUAAUGAACCCAGACAAUUACAUCGAGGAGAUACAACUCCACCGAGAGAACACUCUCGGCCUCUGCAUAUCUAAAUCACCGAAUCACUUUGCACCAACUGUAAUUAACCCAACUAUUAGUUGGAUCUUUCUUGAGCUUAGCCUAAGCAGAGCCCAGAGGCUAGGUGUAGUGGGUGCAGCCAGAUCAAUAGUAGCAGUAGCAGCUACUUCCUCCGUUUCACAAUAUAAGUCAUUCUAACAUUUUCCCUAUUUAUAUUUAUGUUAAUGAAUAUAUAUAUAUAUAUGUGUGUGUCUAGAUUCAUUAACAUCAAUAUGAAUGUGGGAAAUGCUAGAAUGACUUACAUUGUGAAACGGGGGAUCCGAGUAGCUAGCAAGGCAGCUAGUGCUGAUAACGCUGUACCCAUUUGGUUGCUCGACAAUUAUCACGGUGGGGAAGAAGAUGGCAUCAGUGGCGGCCGUCCGGGGAUAAGAGAUGCGCGGCCGGCCGGCGGCCAACUUGGGUGGUCGGACCAAAACCUGCACUCACUUAUUUUACUACUGGAGUAGCUAGCAAUCGAUCGAGAUAGUGGCACUCACUCAAUCGCAUGCAGAUCAUAUGCAGUGUAGGGCGCUUACAAACACUACUAGCCCCUUUUUCUCCGGCUUCCUUUCUAUCUCAUCUGAUCAUCUUCAUCUGACCUUAGCUGACAUUGUGCCCAUAUUGCAAACAGCAAUUCACCUUCACCGGGCCAGUCAGGAAGGCACAUCGAUCAUAUCGAUCGACCAUAUCUUGCCUGCCUGCAAGGAAAAAAAGGAUCAUAUAUUUAUCCAUGAUUCAAUUUUCAUCCAUGCAUGUACCACCGCAUUACUGAUCAUUAUAUGUGUAUAUUUUCAACCAUAUAGAGAGACAACUUGUCCAAAAGCUACCUGGAAUAGCAUUGACUUGUUUCCAUUUUGCGCAAAUUAAGGCCUAGCUAGCUUGUAAUUGUUGCUUUUGUAAUAGGGCCGGUAUCUUUGUAGGCAUAUGUGUGUGUGUGUCUUUUCGUUGACAAAAAAGAAAAGGUCAUCCCUCGGGCUACAAGGGGCUUUAGGUUAUUUUUCCUCGAAAAAUGGGUUUUAAGUUGCACAUAUUCAUCUUUAUAGUUAUUCUUGACGGUUAGAGUUUGGCUGGCACUACACAUUUUGCGAGAUUAUUGCCAUGGACACAUGGUAGUUUAGAUGAGCUAUUAUUGCCAUGGUAGUUUAUAGUUUAGAUGAGCUGAUGAGCCAUCAGUGUCGUGCGGUUUCUCUUUUUGUUAUUAGCCUUUGGGUUCUUCUUUUACUCUUCUCAUAUCAAUAUAUAUAUAUAUAUAUAUAUAUAUAUAUAUAUAUAUAUAACACUAGCUAGACAAAUUGGCUGGCUAUUUGAAAAAGAAGUCUAACUGGAUGUCGGCAGCGUAUUGUAUUUUGUAUCUGGUCACUUGAUUGCAACGGGGAAUAUGCUGCAUGCAUGGCUUUCGCAUAUUCAUCUAACUUUACAACUCUCGCUUGUUUGUACAAAUCCAAACAGGAGGAUAAGAAUCCGGUGACCAUAUAUCAACUACUCCUAAAGAACUAAACCACCUAGCAUUCCUUUGUUCAACAACGGGUUUUAGCUAGGUUUGCGCAUAUAAAUCAGCAUUCUGGUUGUCAUGUAACCUUUAUCAAGUUCCUUAAUUGGCACUAGGAACAUGCGUUUACACGUAUGGCUUCCGUAUAUUCGUCUAACUUUACAACUCUCUCUCGCCUGUACAGAUACAAACAGGAGGAUAAAAAUCCGACGGCGGUGUACUGAUCAUCCCUAAAGGAUUAAACCACCUAGCAUUUUUUCCCCUCGCACUCAUCCCAAUGUACCAGUGGCAUUCUAGAAGUGCAUUGCCAACUCGAAGCUGAUGUGGCCCAUUAGUUUGCUCCAAAAUGGCAAGUUGAUGUGCAUCGAUAUGCUGUGCAAGAAGCUAGGAUCGAUCCUAAUUAUUUGCAGGAUUUUCUGGGUGAAAUCUUAUCCCUGUGCAGCGUUUGUGGCCUUAUGUGGCCACUGGUGCAUUAUUAAAGUGUGCAUCGAUCGAUCAGUGUCGUCGUCGCGUGUACGAGGUUGUAGACAGCAGCAGCUGGGGUACACGUACGGUGGACGUGUAGUGCAAUAGUUUCGAUCUGCUUCGUCUAGUCAACAGCUGCGUAUGAUGUAUGCCAUUGCCAACGCCAACCUAUAAUGGACCGUCCAAUCAUACGGGAACAAACGCAAGUGUACACAAAUAAUUAAACCGUAUGUAGUUUAUAUACACGUAGGAGAUAGCGGUAGCUAGGAGUUUUCUACUUCCUCCGUUUCACAAUGUAAGUCAUUCUAGCAUUUUUCACAUUCAUUUUGAUGCUAAUGAAUCUAAAUAAAUAUAUGUCUAGAUUCAUUAACAUCAAUAUGAAUAUGAAAAAUGCUAAAAUGACUUACAUUGUAAAACGAAGCAGGAGUAUUACACUUUGGAUGAUGUAGCUCUUAUAAAAUAUCGUUAAUAGAUUGUACGUGUUCUCUAUUCAGUAUUUGUCUUAUAACCUUAAGUGUCCUUUUAUUUUAUUUUAUCUUUCCUUUAUACUUAGUAGCCAUGUGCCAGUUGGCAGAGGCCGAAGAUGUGUAGAAUACCAUAGAUAAAGAUAUGUGUACAAUAGUUUAUGAUUUAAUUAUUUUUUUUUUCAUAUAUGGAGUAUUUUGGUGUAUGUCUAUCACUUUCACUGGUUUCUUAUGUACACGUACACACAGGCAUAGCACUACUAUUAGACUUAGAAGUUAGAACUACCAUGUGGGCCGUUAUGUAUUUUUGUGAUGGGUUUAAUUACUUAAACCAUGGUUAAUUUCUUGGUCAGUAUUAACUAAAGUGCUUUUGACUCUUGUGGUUUUGAAAGUACAGUAAUUAGGUUAAUUUUGUGAUUCAGAGCACUUAUGUAAGAUAUGUGUAGUGCGUCCAACACGUACGACUAGUACAAGUUGCAUGUUUCCUGUUUUACUGUGUGCAGUUAGUACCAAGCUUUAGUUUCACCUCUAAAUGUUCUGCCUAAAUUAAACAGUAGUAGUGUAAUCCAACUGGCAACGAGUAUAGUAGAUUUCCAUUGGCUGGUAUAUAGUACAUCGAUCUCUUGAGAAUUUUGAUGAUUCUGAAGAUUUCCAUUGGCUGGUAUAUGUGUACUGUAUAUCAGUGUCAAGAUUAAUUAGAAUAUGUCAGUUUAAACUCUCUACAACUUUACACGCAUUAGCUAGUACAUAUGUAAAACAGCCGAAGUCUUAACCUAGAUAGAAAAAUAUAGUGCGCAUCUAUGCGCCUUAUUACAUGUCUACAUCCUACAUUUUACAAUGUAAGAUUUUCUAUGUCUAGAUUUAUUAAUAUCUAUAUGAAUGUGCAUAAUGCUAGAAAGUUUUACAUUGUGAAACGGAGGGAGUAGUUUGUAAUAUCUCCAAAAAGCUAGGCGUUGAAAAAGCCUCGAUAUAUAUUAAGAACAUUUUUUUUACCAAGAUUCAUGCAUAAUGCACUAGACUAGAAGUAUACCACUGAUUGUACAUGCCACGGAGAUCUUCCUAGUUUCUUGCAUUCAAGGAAAUUAUCACAGUAGAACUAGUUAAUUAGCUCACAUAUAUGCAUGGAAGAAAGCAAGAAUAUUUCUAAAAAACUAACCAACACAGAUAUAUUAUACCAAUUUCAUUAAAUAUAGUGAGGGUAAAGGUAUUUACGAGUAAGAGAAAAAUGUGAGUACACUAUAUACUGUAUGCAUUAGCUAUUAGCUAUAGUAUGCAACCAAAAUAAACCCAUUAUAAGUCCAGCUAAUGAAUUAGCUAGUUUCAUGAUUUGGACAUAUAGUACUUAGUAUGCCCUCCCUCCAUAUUAUAAAUCAUUUGACUUUUUUUUUAGUCCAAUUUUUAUUAAAUUUAUAAAAAAAAUACUUACAUUUUAAUUAAAAACAAACACAUUAUCAAAAUAUACUCAAUGUUAAAUUUAAUAAAAUAAAUUUGAAGUUAUAUAUGUUGCUAAUUUUCUAUAAACUUGGUUAAAAAUCUAAGAAAGUUUGACUAAGAAAAAAAUUAAACGACUUAUAAUAUAAAAUAGGGGAAGUAUACACAAAUAUAAUAGGGCAUGAUAUAUCACGCGCAAAGGACAAAUAAAACCGUAUUAGUUCUGUCAGCAUGCAUACAGUAGUAUAGUCGUAGUCCCGUCCACGUCAUAACUGAAAAUUGCAGUCAAUUGUCAAAACCUCGAUCUCUGCCGGCCGUGUGCAUGGACAGAAAUACUACGUGGUUCACACCAUCCAGCCAUCUCCUUGAUAUACACGUACGGCUAGCCUAGCUCAUGUCUAUUCCCUCUUUAUCAUAAAUCUAAGAUCCUUUCUUUUUAUUUCUUGAUUAGUUUUUUUUUCAAAUUUAACCAUAUUUACAAAAAAAAUAAUAACAUCUAUAAUAUUAAAUUAGUUUUAUAUUAAAUCUAGCAUUGAAUAUAUUUUGAUAAUAUAUUUGCUUUGUAUUAAAAAUAUUGCUAUGUUUUUCUAUAAAUUUAAUCAAACUAAAAGAAAUUUGACUAGAAAAAACGUCUUAUAAUAUGAAACAGAUGGAGUAUAUUAUCUCCACACCCCCAUUUGUCACUAAUCCGCAUAAUGUGUACUAGUCCAGCUUAUGUGCCUUGGCCUCUUAAUGCAUGGAUCUAGAAAUAUUUUAGAGUCUAGACAAACUUAACUAGAGCUAGUAUCUGAUAUAAAAUUUCUAUCUUCAAUCCACUUAUGAACCAAACAAUUGAUCAGAGUCAUCGGGCCUUGGAUCGGCCAGUGUGUAGGUCAAAUCUUACAUGCAUAUAACAUAUCGUGACAACAUAUUCACUACUACAUACUAUUGCUGUUGCUACUACAGAACGCAUGAAACAUAGCACCUUAUCAAUGCCGGUUUGCCAAUAACCGACACUGACAUAUAGGUCCUAGUCAGUAGUUAGACAUUCGUCGAAAUAUCAAUAUCAAGUGACUAUAAUAGGGUCGAAACCCUAGCUCAACCUACUAGCUUCAAUCCUCAAAAUCCAUUACCACCUCUAUUCCUCGUGGUCGAUUGAAGGUUGCCAGACUCCACCUUUCCUCUCUCUUCCUCAAGUUCUUCAACUGCUGAAGUUUGCUGGCAAAACCCUUGUGGCCGCCACCCUACUCAACCUUACUUUGCUGCCGACCAGGCUACAAGGGGCUGGCCACAUCCUAGAUAAAAUCCGUACCUAUAUUACAUUGGGAAUAAGUUCGGUGAUGUAAAAAUAUAUUUUGAGAGUUCAAAUAUUUAGAUGAUAAAGCUGAAUAAGUUUAAGGACCGGCCAUACCCUUUACGUGUAAAAGAAAUAUCUGUAACAUAAGUUGGCCGGGAUGAAUAUGUACUGGAACAAAAAGAGGCAGGCAUGAAUAGUUGCUUUAGCUCCUUAGGAAGGUCGACCGAAGCUGCAGCAAGAAGCAAUAACAGAGCAAGUUGUUGCACGCAUGACAUUCGUAGUUGCGGCGGCCGGCGAGAUAUAUUGGCCUGCAUCAUGAACGACACAACUAGUAGAUGAUAGCUAUAGUUCUCGAUCGAUCGAUCGACCGGCUGCUGGCUAGCUGUUGCUCACUCGAUCACUCUCCAGGGGGCUUGAAGCUUCCUGCUUCACCUUUGUGCUUGUACGUACAACGCAUCAUCAGUACUGACUUGGCUGCUCCUCCUUUUUGCCGUCUUAACACCACAGCCACUAGCUAGCUAGCUGCUCCAUCCGUCCCAAAAUAUAAAUAUAAGCGUUUUUUACCCUAAUACGGUCUCCAAGAUGCUAAUUUGACCAACAAUAUCUAUAAAAUUAAGAUGUUUUAAAUAAAAAGAGUUGCAUAUUAUGAUAUUUUGUUUAAUGAUAAAUCUAGCUAGUAAUAUCAACUUUACAUGAUUGAUUUUUUAUAUUUUAUUUAUUAUUAAUAGUCAAAGUUAAAAAUGUUUGACUUAUCACUUUGCUAAAAAUGCUUAUAUUUUGGGACGGAGGGAGUAAUGAUCAGCUGCAAUAAUACUGUAUACCACUGCAUAUAUAUGCAAUUUGCUGAAUUAUUGAAGUCGAUCGUAUGUACUAGCAUAUGUGUGCUUUGGUAGCUGCUAGCUAGCUAUAUCUGAUGCUAUAUGAAUCUUGGAAGGAAAACAUAUACAUGCAUGCAUGCACUAGUAAGUACAGGGCAGACAUGAAUUGGUAUCAUGCACUUUGUUCAGUUCCCUGAUCUGAUCAUCAUCAGUAAUGUGAUGUGUACUAGCUAGCACUUUGAACAGGGAGAGAGCUUAGUUCAUGGCAGAUCGAUCGAUCGAUCUCUAUGCAUGUGUGAAACAGCAACCUUAGAGAAGUAAGCCAACUAUAAACAUAUUUUAAACAGAUAAAAAAAAAGAGAGAAGAGUAAGUAGGCUACAGAUCUGUAGCUAGAUGCAAUACGAACUCCAAGACAUAAUGUGUGUAUGACUGGUGGGACCAUAUAUUAAUAAUAUAGUAAGCAACUAUUAUUGAAUUAGCUAUUACAUUGACUAUAUAUGAUUUGGAGCGGAUAGUUAGCUUAUACUAUUAAACUUGCUCUUAGCUCGAAUUAAAGGGUGAUCGAUUUGACACGCGCGGUUUCCGAGGAGAGAAAUAUCAACUGAUGAGCGCGUGUGGACGCAGAGAUCGAUCGAGAUAGAUAGAGUGCAGCUCGAGCUGGAGAGCACCAUAUGUAUGUAUGCAAGCAGAGCCACUCACAGCCGCCUGCUAUUCUAGUUUAGAUUCACUGAUCAUCACCUCACCUCACCUACCUCGCCGCUAGCUGCUUCAGCCGAUCCAGGAUCAUAUAUAUGCAUCUGCAGUUGCAUUGCACCUAGAAAUUAAAUCAAUUAACCCAGGAUAUAAUAUAUAUACAUGCAUACACUUAGUGAUACAUGUAGGCCAUUUACACUGCAGAAGCUUUAGGAUGAAUGAAUGAAUGAUCUUGUUCCUGAUCUAAUUAUGAUGAUCAGGUGAGCGGCUAUUGGCUCUCACACUCUGACCAGCGCUUUAGCUGUAAGCGACCUCACCUACCUACCUCCAUUGUUGCCCCAUGAUGAGCAUGCCUGCCCUAGCUUAGUGGCUCACUUCGUCCCAACACUUACAUACUACUGCUACAUAUCUGAUCGAUCUAAGACCCUGUUUAAUACAGCUUCAGCUCUAGUUCUACCUCUUCUGGAGCUGAGGUUCAGCCAAACAGUUUCAGCUUCAUCUAAGAUGAGAGCGGAGCUGGAUGGAGCGCUCUCACAAAAUAAACUAGAGAUGUGGAGCUAGGUUUUGGACGCUCCACAACUUUACUCCAUACUUAAUUUCUGAAGCUAAAUUUUAGAGUUGGAGCUCUACCAAAUAGGGCUUAACAAUACUAUAUCAAUUCACCGCUACAAGGAGUCAAGUACUCCCUUUGUAUUGUACCUAAAUAUAAUUAAGCAGUUCUAGCCUUCUAGGUUGUUUAGGAAUUAUUCCCUUUCAGUCAUUUGAAUGGUCAAAUUUUGAAAUUUUAAGUUACUAUACUACUUGAAUUCCUUUUCUAAGCAUCUGGAUGGGCUGAAAUGGUUAGAUUCCCAUGCAUUGGAAUCGAUGCGUCCCUUAAAAAUAUAUACUUAUACCGUGUAUAAAACUUAAAUCCUAGAAAUACUUAUACUAAACUUUAGUACUUUCUCCGUCCCAAUAUAUAAUAACUUUGGACCGAAUUUGAUAUAUCCUACUAUGAAUCUAGACAUGCACUCAAAUACGGUCCAAGGUUGCUAUAUAUUAGGACGGAGGAAGUACUUGGUAUUACUUUUUCUUUUUGUUUUUUUAGGAAUGGAGAGGUUGGGAAAGAGAAGGAUAUCUAGCAGGAGGAUAUCCUACCUAGCCAGCAUGCAUGUACAGGCAAAUUAGGGCAGCAGAUGGAUGGAUCAUGGAUGGAUGGAUUGGAUGCAGCUGACACUGUGCCACGCUUGCUCCUACUAGAAGCAACGCGUGCAGCAUAUUCAUCCAUCAGCUAAUGCGAUGUGAGGCGCCGAAUAUUCAUCUCUCCACCGGGCGGCCACCAGUGGAUGGGAGCCAAUUCUUUUCUCCAGUAAGAUUUAGAUGAAGAUAAAAAUUUUCAUGGCAUGCUUUUCAAACUGCUAAACGGUAUGUUUCGUGUGAAAACUUUCUAUAUAAAAGUUACUCUAAAAUAUUAUAUUAAUCUAUUUUUCAAGUUUAUAACAAUUAAAACUUAAUCAACCAUACAUUAAUACCAUAUUGUUUUGCGUAAAAAAAAUUAAUCUUUAUUUUUAAGAGAAAUGAACACCAACCGCUGUUGCUGCUGCUCUCAUUGUGAGCACCAACGUACGACCAAUUCAGAUUCAGCUUAGCUAUAGCUCAACGUACACAUGCAUGUACUGCAAGUCUGCAACCAAUACGAUCCAGAUUUUCAGAGUACAGUACAAUUAUUGCUACUACCAAGUCGGCCAUGCCGGUCGAUCGAUCGAUCUCGGCUUCGACGCUUUUAGUUCGUAGAGUAGAAUUAAAACGUGCUUGAAUUGAUCAUGUGAUGAAGUACAGCGUGGACUCCAUGUUUGCAUCAGAUUAUCUCAGGUUGGCUCCUUACAUUCCCAGUAGGCAGAUUCGUAUGUAUGUAUGUCUACCUGCUGCAACCAAGGCCCAGAUAGAAAGACACAGGCCCAUCUAGAUAGAAUACAGGAAGCUCGCAGCUGGAGUAGCAUUUUGCAAGGAAAUAGAAGACCAAAGGUUGACUACUUGGGUCACAACUCAUAUUAUUCUCUUUGAUGGAUAUAUUGACUCAAAACUCUACAAAAACUGGGGAUCCAUAAUUAAUUUUCAGCAAUAGAUCUUACAAGCUAAUUUUAUACACAGCUGGUUCAGCAUUGGAGCUGAGUUUUUUUUUGUUGGUUAUCCACAAUUUUAGAAACUUAACUGCUUGUUUGUUGGGCAACUCGAGGAAAAGGAUGCUGAGAUUAAGAGGAGAAUUUGAUUUUUAAUCUCAGUAUCUUGUUUGGUAGAGGUAAUGGAAAUUGAUAGAGAGUUUAGUUAAAGAUUAGAUCAUUAAUGAUAACGGAUGGCUAAAAUUUAUUUAGGCAAACUAAAGGAGGAAUUCUCUCCCAAUUACCACCUCUACCAGGUAUUCAAAAGGAGGGAACCUCCACCAGGUAUUCAAAAGGAGGGAGUUCCUUCCUCAAUUCCGCAUUCCCACCAAAAUUCUCAUAUCUCCCAACCAAAUAAAACAACUCCCCAACGAUUAAUAGCAUCAUCCCUCUAAACUUCUAAUCCCUCCAAAAACCUCCAACCAAACAGGCCGUAAAUGGCAUCCUGGGAAGCAUCAAGAGAAAACCAAAAUACGUCUGUUCCAACAAAUAUAUAUACAGAUACCCCAUCCAAACCGGAAGCUCUUGGGCUACUUUUCUUAAAACACCAGACACACAUACAGCGCAUGGAAGCUUCGUGUGAUAUCAUGCACUACCAAAGACAAAGCAACAGGAAGCGUGUUUGGAAUUACACAGAUGAUCCAGGACCUUUACCCUGGCGCACAUGGUAAACAAAUUGUACUUCAUGGUAGUUCAAUGCACAGGGUCACUCUGAUUCUGAAGUUCCAGUUCUAUUAACCCAACUUGACCGCCUUGAAUGUGUGCCAGCUCGUCCUUUCAUGAGAUCAGCUGGAAGGUCGUCCCUGCUCAGAUCUGGGGAUGCAUGCGUUAGUCUACCCUCUUUCUCAUCCAAAAAGCCCCCGAGACCUGCUUCCAAGUCCCUGAUAUCAGCUGCUGUCCUCGGUUCAUCCCAAGGCACCGGCUUCCUGCCCAUUUCAAGAUCCCCAACAGGUUUGCCCAUGUUGGGGCUCAUAAAACCUCUUGAUGCUACACGGGUUUGCUGUAGCCCUUGCUCAACUGUGACCCUUGCCCGGAAAUUGUUCUUUGAAGGAGGAAUACGGCUGCAGAAUAUCUCUAGAAAGUUGUUCAGAACGCCUCUGUUAUACGGGUUAGCCCGUCUAUCGUAGCGAUACCUGAAGUUCUCAUAAGUUGUCUGCAAAAGAACAGGGCUACAUGAUUAGCUAAUGAAUUGAAAUCGUUGUGUUUAGGAAAUUAAUGCUGAAUCGAACUAAUACCUACCUGGUUGGUGCUCAUCAAAUAGCAAUGGAAGACAGAAAGACCACCAACAAACCAUACACAAAGGAAGCAGUAGAUGAUCAAAACGAUUGAGGCUGGUGUCUUUAGCAUUGCCUUCCAAACUGACAAACUCUCAGCAUUUCUAAUCUUGAUUAUGUACACCCAACAGAAAGCAAAUACGUAGAGGCAGAGUAACGUGGUCGAGAAUACAAACAUGUAGAAGAACCGAUAAUUACGCUGCACCAAAUAUGCUUUAUGAUUAGGCUCAAGUUGAUUUGAAGAGAGCUCAAUGAAAAGCACUGGAAGAAUAACUCCAAACAAAUACGCACAUGUCUUUCCUACGGUAAGGAUAGGUACAGAACUGCUGGAAAAACAUGAUACUUACAAGUCCUAUGCAUUGGCCAACCCAUGGACAGUGAUGAUCAAACCGUUCCACACAGUUGUUGCAUAUCGAACAGUGUGAGCAUCGAGGUGGCCGGUAAAGCAUGCAUGUGUCACAGUAUUUAAUCCUCACACUGAUUCCGUUUACAAUGACAUCCUUUGUCCGAGGCAGACGCAACUGUUGUGGAGUCUGAACUCCAGAAUCAUUGCUCCCAUCAAAGCCUUCAGGCUCAGGAGGAUGAGUGUUACGAGGUAUAAUACCAGGAUCUCUACCAGAAGUAAGGAGAAGCAGCGUCAAAUCCUAUAAAAUGAAAACAAAUUAGUUAUUUGUAUAUUUUGAAAAUGUAUAAACCUUAGAAAUACAUGCAGAAAAAAUUAUGACAAGCAACCAUGGUCAGUGCAAGAUCUGGGACACUAAAUGAAACCAUUUCAAGGGAGAUGUGAUGGCUAAGAAUUCCACUGCUUAUUAUUAUAAGAUGUGAAGAAAAGAAAUAGUGACUGUACAAGUAUGCUUACAUAAACGGUGAAGACAACCACCACAACCAUCACCGAGAUACCCCAAUCACCGGGAAAGUCAUCAAUGAGGUGUCUGGCGACAAACACGCAGAAGGCCACCACUGGUGCAACGAUGAGGAACAUAGUGAGAAAUAUGGAUCUCACAUCAGGCCCAAAUAUAAACCUCCCUCGCAAGAAGAAUUCCUUCAAAAUACAAAAUAUAAAUGGAUACCAUCAGAACUCCAUCAAAUCCAAUUGCAAGCACUCAUAGCAAACAUUAUAUUUGUUUUUCGUGCAAUACUCAGACAACUUAAAUAACAACAGAGAGAAGCUCUCCCCUGUAUGGAGGACCUUACGCUUAUAUUGUGCUAUCGGCUUUUAGGUUAAAGCUGAAGCUCACCAAAGCAGGGCCUGAUGGCAUUUCAAAAUUCCACUGGAUUAUCUCCGAGUUUGUAUGCUAAAGAAGUACAAGUUGACCAAUGACUAACAAACUUCUAUCAAGAACAUGUUGUUACCAAGCCAAAUGCCCAAAUGUAUAAGGAAAUAAAAUGCAAUAUAUUGUAGAGCUCAAGUCACACUCACAUGACACAGCUCAUCAAAAUAUUUAGCAUGAAGACCAGCGUAUAUCUUAAGAGUUAGCUACAAGAUUUGUUGGUCCACUAGCAAAUGCAGAUCUCGAUUCUGAAUCAUGUCAAGUGAAAAACAAAAGGCAGAACCAAAUGUAUCACAAGAUGAGGUACAAAAUUUCUGCAGAAAAAAGUCUUAGAACUUAUGAAACCGUUAACUUCUAAAUUUAGCUAAAGUCAUGAACUCAUGAUUAUCAGUUUACGAUUGAUAGGCAAUAUCUUACUUGUAUAACUUCGAACUGUGCACAGAUGCUCGCUUCAUUCCUAUUUUGACUAGACGAAUUGUUUUCAACUAGCAUAGACAUUCUCACCAUAGAUACUGAACAUGAUCAUUAAACUGGCAGAUAACAAAACAACUCCAACUCAAAUCUAUCCAUUUUCCUCUUGGUCAUGUGAGUUAAAAAUGACAAAACAAAUAAGAGCAAAACCAAAAUAACUAAUUAUCGAUGAUACUGGGACCUAUGUUUCCAGCUUCUUAUGACAACACAAGUGAACAUAACUGUCACAGCACACUAAUAGUCUAAUAUAGAGUUCAUAAACAGUCAUUUCCCAAUCAGGUGUGAAGCAAAGAGUCCCAAAAUCGAACACCAGGUCCUCCAAUCACGCUGUAGGAUCGAUCUCCAAAAACGUAAACCGAACCCCCACUACCAAAUCACAUAAAAAACGAGUAAUUCCCCCAGCCGAUCCCUCAGAUAGCACUCCCAUCUCACCGAUCACUGCGCAUAGUGCGCCGCUAAGUACAGAUCCAGCUCCAGCUUCACCCUGCGGCAAAGGCGAGAGAGAGAGGGAGAGAGAGAGAGAGAGAGAGAGUGCUUACGUUGCUUCCCCGCCAAACCUGGUAAACCCUAGGCUGGUCGCCGGCGUCGCGGCCGGCCGCAUCGGAGCGAGAUGGCUGCGGCACGUACAUCCCGCCGCCGCCGCUGAUGCCGCAGGGCCCCCCUCAACCAAACUCCUCGUCAACGACCGGUGAGCCCGCCCGCCCGCCCGACUGAACCGACCACCAGCGGCGAUGGUCCCCCCACUCACCACCACCACCACCACCGUGGCCUACUCCGCCGCCGCCGCCGCCGCCGCAGCCGAGACGGGCCCCCCCGCGACGAGGAGGUGGGGGUUGCGGGGGAAGAGGGAGAGAGAGAGAGAGAGAGGAAGGGGAAAGGGAAGGUCUUCGGGUUUGGGGGGGUGGAGGUGGGUCGCGUCGGGCGGCAGCGCAGCGGCCAAAAGACCGAAAGCGACGUGGUCUGCGGUCCGACGGGGCGGGCGCGCGAGGGUGGGGCCCACGUCUCGGUGGGUGGAGGAAGCAGCAUAGUCAGCCCUGUGUGACGUCUUGGUGACGUGUUCUUUUUUAUUUUUAUUUUUAUAUAUUCAUGGGCCGCGAGCCUCUGCCGUUUGGUUUUGGGCCGGGGGCUGCUGGCUGGCUCGUUUCAUGCCGCUGUUGCAUCCUUGGAACGGCCCGUAUUCAAAUUAGUUACUCCAUCGAGGAAAAACUCCACUUUAACUCCCUUAAAAAAGUACUCCCUCCGUAUUUUAAUGUAUGACGCCAUUUGACUUUUCGACCAACAUUUAACUAUUUAUUUUAUUCAAAAUUUUUGUGCAAAUAUGAAAAUAUUUAUAUCAUGCUUAAAGAACAUUUGAUGACAAAUCAAGUCAUAAUAAAAUAAAUGAUAAUUACAUAAAUUUUUUGAAUAAGACGAAUGGUCAAACAUUGGAUAAAAAGUUAACGGCGUAAUACAUUAAAAUAUGGAGGUAGUAACUUGAAUCUAAAUCGUAUAGGGCGAUUCCCCGAACUGAAACUGUAGCUAACCAAAAUAAAAGUUGAUGUAUCUCGUUUCGUAGGAAGUGAAACUGUAGCACAAUCAUCAUGUUGGAGGGAAGCUUGAACUAUACAUGUGUUUCCAGUUUAACAACAAAAGCUGAGAACUAUGGUCUUCCCAGUCUAGCAACAAGAAAACUUCAGUUGCAUAAAAUCACCUGGAGAAUCCCCUUAAGAAGGAUAAUCAGAUAAAAAGGACUUUAAGAUUUGUAAUCACCAUGGAUGAAAUUUUUUUUAUGUGACUGUUACAAGUUUAUUCUCCCUUCAAAAUUUUUUGGGACAAAUAGAACACUUCAAUGCUUCUUAAUUAAUACUCCCUCCGUCCCAAUACAAGUACAACUAAUAUAGCAUCUAGAUUCAUAAUACUACGAUGUCACAUCUAUACUAGGUUGCACUUGUAUUAGUACAGAGGGACGGAGGGAGUAAUAAGCGAACUUAUGGUUUAUAAAUCAUCAAUGGUGACUAUUGCAUCCAACAUGAAGAACUGCAGAGACUACAAAUUAAUCAUCUUCCAGCUUGCCAGUUCUAAUCUAAAAACUUAGAAGGAAAAAUGAAAACGAAGGCAUCAGGUAUCCACUCAAGCAAACUCGAGGAAUGCAAAGAUAAGGUACCAUUAAGCAAAUAAAAGAUUAAUCAAUAUCAUUGCACUGCGGAAGUAAUAAGCAUUAUGCCUAGAGAUUGCCUGCAAUAUAAAUGGGGCGUCGCCGGUAGAGAUCAAAGCAUCACAUGACAAAAAACUGGAGACAACAGCGCGCUUUUGUCCCAGAAUUACAUAAAACAAUUCACUGUUAAAUUUGUCAUUGUUCACAUGUUCAAAGGAAGCUAAGUGAAAAAAAAAAGAGGCAUUUGAUAUAAGUAGUCCACUUCAGGUGCUGCCAUGCUACUGCAUCUCAAACCGUUUGGCGAUGAUCACGCUCAUGUCAAGGAACCUCUGAGCGCAGUUGGUCAGGCAAGUCGUUUCCCCGGAGCUGAACUUGCUUCCUGGAGUGCUGGUGAUGCACUUGUCCCAGCACACGCUUGUGAGCUUGCCGACCAUCUCGCUCACCAUUGCCUUCUGCUGCUCUUGCUGCAGAGUUAUAUUCAGGUAAGAAUCAGCUGUGAACUUGUAAGAGAUAUCUAAAGGGUCAGCAUCAACUGAACAUACUAGUUAUAGUUGACACACAAGAAACAGAUUUCUCCUAUGCUCAUCAAUCCCAACAUCAACAUAUAUGGUGCCAUGUUUUAAAAUAGCAUGGGCCUAUGCAUUAAACAAAACUAUGGCGAGAAAAAAAAAACAUAUGUAGAAUAAUCGUGCAUAAUUGGUUUGUUCACGGCAGGAUUUUUCUAGUUCUAUGAAGCAUGAUGCAAUGCACAAAUCUGGCGGUAUUCCUGUAGAGAAAUUAAGUAGCAUGACUGUGUUGCUUCGAAGGAUCAUUCCUUCAAAUAUUUUGAUACAACUAGGUGGUCUACAUGUACAUGGAGAUUUCAAUGAACCAGAUAAGGAACCAUCAGUUCCAAUCAAAACAUGUGACAAGUGGAGAUACAAACUAAUGGCAUAUGUGUAGGCUCGACAAUCCUGAAUCCCCACAAUAGAGGACAGUAAAUGCCCCAACUGAGCAACCUACUCAUGAAUAAAUUAACAAGUAUUCCCAUGAAUAAAUCAUAAAUUUACAUCCUUCACUCCACAUCGCAUCGUCAUGCUUCGUCUAAACAGAAAACUUCAGAUCCGGAGCUACCUAAUCGCACCAACAAAAGUAAAGUGGGACAAAUCCCAUCCCACUUUCACAACACAAAACGCAUAGAGCUAAGCAGUCGGUGCUCGGUGAAUCAAUCACCCACAUGACCAAAAAUACACCGAGACGGAGCCCUAAAAUUCAGUAACAGAGUAGUACACGCCCCCACGGCACCACACGAGAUCAUAAGCCGCGGCAAGGAGCACUCACCUCGAUGAAUCUCUGCAUCUCGGCGGAGUUCUCCAUGGCUCCGAGCCUCCAAAAACCUAAAACCCUAGCUACGCUUUUGCUUGGAGCCGACGAGAAGGGGAGGAAUCGCGAAGCCGCCGCCGCCGCCGUCGUCUUGCUUGGUAUAUCAUCUCCACGAAGCGGCUUUAUUGGGCCAUAUACGGGGGCCCUUAACGGGCCGGGCCGGGACCGACCAUGUGGGCCUCCACUUGAUCUAGGCCCAACGUGAGCCCAUCUGCAAGACGGAAUAUUCGGUGUCCGAAACGGAAUAUCCAUUCGAAUGAUCCCUCCGCCACGGUGGAACAUUCCAACGCCGUGAUGUCUCUUUGUCUAAAAAUAUUCAAAUCCUUUUCUUCGCGUCAACCAACCAACCACCGCAAGGUCCACGCCUCCUCCACCAAUGGCGCUCCCGGCGGCGACGGCCCGCGCGGCGGCGCUGUGCCGGAUCGCGGCGUGCGCGUCGGCAUCGUCGGCGGCGGCGGCGGCGACCGGGGGGAGGCGCGGGGCGGAGAAGCUGCCGUUCUCGCUGGCGGAGCGGGGGAUGGUGGUGGGGGGGCACCGCGGGAUGGGGAUGAACGCGGUGGGGGCGCCGCCGGGGGCGCGGAUCGAGGCGGUGAGGGAGCGGGAGAACACGCUGCUCUCGUUCGGCCGUGCCGCCGCGCACGCCGCCGUCGCCUUCGUCGAGUUCGACGUCCAGGUAUAUAUAUGCAGCGCAGCCGAGUUCGACGUACGUGCUUCCAUUUCCACGUUGUUGGUAGUACCUGUGUUUGUUUUGGACUUUGAAUUGGAUGUCAGUUUAGGCUUUGGAUUGGUUGGUUUUGACACCGCAGCAUCGCAAUGCAAGAUUUGGAAGCUAGCGUGCGUAUGACUUGGAUGUAGCUACUGAUUGGUGUGGUGCUGGACAUGAAAUUUGCUAAGUACACAAGUAUAUUGCAAGCAAUGUUCUAGCCAGGGAACUACAUGGGACAAGCCUCACAAGUAGGAGUAUCAAUUUAAUCGCAUUUAACAAGGAUCUAGAUGCCACCAUGCUAAAUUGGUCAAGAAUGAAGAAUGGAGCGAUUUUAGGUGGAUGUUUUGCAGGGAUGUAGCAGAUAUCCAUUAGGCAGGUGCUAGGAUUUGAAGUUGCAGUUCUUGUUUUGAGCUGCGGACGUUCUUAAUACAUUGCCAACUACUCUUAGAUCAUAUUGCAUUGGUGAAAUCAAGUCGUUGGCACUGGGCCAGCAAUCAAUAGGAUUCAUUCUCUUCCAAUUUUUUUGAUUGGUACAAUUGAUUUCAGUUUGAGCAUACAGUUAUCCUGAUGUACUGAUUACCCUUUUGCCUUGCAGGUUACAAAAGAUGGCUGCCCAAUAAUCUUCCAUGAUGACUUCAUCCUAACACAAGAAACUGUAUGUUCCUUUCUGCUCAUUCUCUUCAUUGUUAUGCUCGGUUUACGUGGUACCCUGUUCAUCUAUGGCAGGAAGAGCGCCUGACUCUUGAUUGUUCUUGCAAGAUGUGUAGGAUGCAGUCUAUGCAAAGCGUGUUACUGAUCUUCUCUUGGAAGAAUUUCUUUCAUAUGGGCCGCAAAAGAAUUCCCAUGAGGUGAUUUACUCCUUUUUUUGUUGGCUUCUGCUGUGCCAAGUUCAUGGUUAUGAAUGCAUUUUUGAGAUGCCAUUUUGUAAACUUGCCCUUAUGUUGAUUGUUCAGAUCUCCAAGCCAUUGCUUAGACGGACCAGCGAUGGUAGAGUUGUUAACUGGAGCGCAAAAGAUGAUGAUUCCCUAUGCACAUUGCAAGAAGUCUUUGAACGUGUCAGUCCUCGUCUAGGAUUUAACAUUGAGCUAAAGUUUGAUGAUGACAUCUUCUAUGAAAGGAGUCAACUUGACCGUGCGCUUCAAGCUGUAUUGCAAGUAUGGUUUGUUUCCUUUGUUCAUGUAACACGAUAUCAAUUAAUUCACAUCCAGUAAUUUGGUCACUGUGAGGUGAUGACCAUAACACCAUCAUAUGCUUUUUGAUAGGUUGUUUCUCAGUAUGCAAGCAAUAGGCCUGUAUUUUUCUCAACCUUCCAUCCUGAUGCGGCAAGGAUUAUGAGGGAACUUCAGAGCUUAUAUCCUGUAAGUAUUAUUAGAAACCUCUCAUAUUACAUAUAUGAAUUGUAAGGUCAAAAUGUCAAAUGUUUCCUCAGCAUUUUAACUAGCUGUAAUUUCGGUAGUUUCUUUGACACAAGUGAAGAAAAGAAAAAAAAUCUUACAUUAGCAGGUCUGUAACUUCCAAACUGAAUAUCAAAACCUAUAAACCUUGUGCAGAACAAUCAGGUUGCAAACUCGUGAUGCACUUGUAUUUCAGCCUUCUUAUUACACCAUAUAUCUUUCGGGAUGUAGAGACCGAGUUUUAUUUAAUCCAUUAUCUAAAAAAAUUACACCAUAUAUCUGGUAGUUACUUGGGAAAAAAUGAUCAUACGUAGAAGAAAUUGAAGCACACCCAAUAAUUUAAACACAGCAGACUCUAAAUACCUUCUUAUGAUGAGAAGUAGCCGAUUACGAAUUUUCAUUGACCUGCAAAAUGGAUGAGAAAUGUAUGUAAAUGCAGACAGCUUCAGUGUAAACCAAUACUUUCUUAUUUCUUUUAGACUGACAUUUCUGAUGUUAGAUUGCACGGUUUUAUAUCCAAUCUGGAUGUGUAACCAUUAGCAUUUAGUAAAACGUUGAAUAGGUCUUAUCAUCAUCCUUAUUUCUCGCACUCUUGCAUUAGGUACUCUUCUUAACAGAAGGAGGAACAGCUCAACACAAAGAUUCAAGAAGGAACUCACUUGAUGAAGCUAUCCGGGUCUGCCUAGAGUACGAGUUGCAUGGACUUGUAUCAGAGGUAAGAGGGGUUUUAAAGAAUCCCUCUGCAGUCCUUAGAGCAAAAGAGUCCAACCUUGCACUUCUGACCUAUGGGCAGCUCAAGUAAGCAGCAUAUUUGCCUAGUGUUCCUUCUGUUAUGUUGGCGCUGCUCUUUUUUUCCUCAAUCAUCUUUAUUCGUGGGUUUGCUGGUGGAUUUGCAGUAAUGUGUGGGAGGCUGUGUACAUCCAGUAUUUGAUGGGCGUAAAUGGCGUUAUUGUUGAUCUAGUGGAGGAGAUCUCAAAUGCUGUGGCAGAUUUCAGUAAACCAGUCCUCAAUCAGAGCAUGCUAGGGAGUGGUGUCGACUUGGUUGGAGCAAAGCAUCAGGCCUUCUCACAGCAGCAGCUGGGUUUCUUGCUCUGGCUUAUACCUGAACUGAUCCAGCAACCACACUGAUAAUACAUAAUACCCAAGAACAAGAGGUGGUUCAAUUGGCUGAGUUUUGAGAGGUGUUUCAGGCCCUUGUCUUCAGUUGACCAUUCAGAUGAACUUACACUAGUUAGAACUUAGAAGAUCAAAAGAUACUAUUGCAUUGUUCUGUAUAGAAUCAAAACUCCACUCAUCAUUGGCUAAUUCCGUUACUGCCGAUCGUCGGCCAUAGCUUUGUUGCAGAUAUGUUCAUCACAACUUAACCAAUAUACACGUACAGCAAUGUAUUGCCACGCUUUUACAACACAGAGCAGUGUAUUUCAGCGGGUUGGGCUGCUUUCAUAUGAUCUGUAAAAUGUUGAGUUGUGAUAUCCUGUUUGCAGAUUCACUCUGUUUCCUCUGUGUGCCCAUUGCUUUCUUGCAGUAGAACUGUCAACUAAGCUGCAGGCACAACAGAAGAAUUUUAUCUGAAGGCAACACACAUAUAUAGUUGAAGUAACAGUAGUGAUGAGCAAAAUCAACACGUACAGUUUACUGAAUGGCAUGGCAAGUUGUGAAAUCUCUUCAGCAAGAAAUUGGGACGUUCUCACGUGCAGCUCAAAUACGAUUAAGCCUGUUCCAGUCACAAAUUUAUACUGCAAAAACAAAGCAGGAAGCAGCAGAUUGUGCGUGUGCAGGACAUGUCUGACAAUCAGGCAUUUUUUUUCUCUCUGCAAUGUACACAGAUUUGAGAACGUGGGGAUGACUGCUCAUUGUCCCCAUGGCGACCUCGACUGAAUCACUGAUGAACCAACAAUUGCUUCAUUCAUGCUGUGUCCCCUUCUCUGAACCUGGACAGAGGCCUUCUCUGAACCUGGACAGAGGAAAGCUGUUUGCAGAUUGCAAGAGAUUAUGUGGUCUUUAUUAAUAUACAGUAUUUCAGAUCUCAUCUCCUUGUGCGACCUGGCAAUUAAAGAAAGAGAAUUAUGAUCUUGAUGAAGGGUGAAAGAAUCAAAGAAAUACUAGCUACACCUAUCACUGUCCGUGUUCUCCGAUUUGUCCCUCCACAGGGUUUGCUUAAUCUGGUUUAGAUGUAUACAAACCCUGCGCCACCGACGCGUCGGCGAGCAGAGCCUGACGGGAGACCGGAGACGGCAAUCCAUCAAGCAAACAGCAGCAGCGUGGCAGUCGACGGCGGUGGUGGAUCUAGGUCUUUGUAGGGGAAAAAAAAAGAGAGGAUAGUUUCCGUCCACCCUGGAGGAAAAGAUCACAUAUACCUUUUGAAACGGAUAAUUCUCGUAUAAUUUGGAUAUUGAUACGGAUAUGAUAUUGUGGUUUUUAACGGGUACGGAUAAUAAUAUAAAUAUCUCGUGAACAGUGCUAUCGGAUAUACUUACUCCAUUUCUCUAUAACUUUAUGACCUUAAAUCUACCUUUUUAGAUUUUAAAUAGUAGUACAUAUUUUAACAUUAGUCCACACUAUUAAUAUUAUUUAAAUUUAAAUAUUUUAAUAAAUUAUACUAUAUUUUAUAUAGAAAACUAAUUAUAUACGAUGACAUUUGUUUAUAUUAGAAGUUGAGGUGGUUUCUGUGUUUCGAGAAAAAAGUAUUUCCUUAUUCAUAUUCAAGAGAAUUCAUAUUUGUUUCUGCAUCUGAACUAUUCGUAUUUAUUUUUGCAUCCAAAAAAGAAAAUAUAAAGACGAAUAUGAUAUGAGCAUUCGUCUGUAUUAGCUCUGUUUUUAUCCCUAUGUCGCGGAAUAAACAGCAGGGACUUUUAUGUGAAAAUAUUUGGACCGCUACGUUCGACUUAGGGCCUGUUUACUUGGAUGAAAAAAAAACUUAUCAAACUUUGGCAUUGCAAAAAUUUUGGUAUAGUUACCAAAAUUUUGGUAACUUGCCAAAAUUUUGGCAGGAUUUCUUAUAUAGUUACAAAAAUUUGGCAGCAAACUAAAUGUAGCCACUUUUUUUAACUUUACCAAAACUUGGUAAGGUUAAAAAUGGCAUCAAAGUGAACAGGCCCUUAGUUAGGGGGUUUUUGUGUAAAACAUCAUUUCGUUAUGAAUGGCCCAAAAUCAAAUGAGGGGUCAUCUUGCAAAAUACAAAAGGGAGUAUACUACGCCGUUGGAUCUAACACGAACGGCUCAGAUAUUCAGCUUUCCUUCCUCCCGUAAUCCCCGCCGUCUCUCUCUCCUCGCUCCGGCGGGUUGGCCGGUCGCCGGUUGCCGGAGCCGCCUGCCCUGCCCUCUCCGGCCGGCGGGAAGCCGCCAUUAUCGCUGGUGGAACGCGGCGUUGACCGAGGGAUGCGGGUGGAGGGCGGCCCGGCCGCAGAACGGGGGAUGAAUGCGGUAGGGGACGCCGACGGCGGCGGUGGCUAGGGUUGGGGAACUCACUGCUGCUCUCCUUCGAUCGCGCCGCCGUUGCCCGUCGUCGAGUUGGGCGACGACCAGGGGCAGGUAUACAUGCCUCGUUCCCCAUCAUUUCCUGCCAAUUUUGUACCUCUUCUGUUCAGAUGUCGCCGUAGUGAUCGUAGUGUGGUUGAUCAGUUUGAUCAAUGUUGAUUGUAUGGAAGAACACCCAGAUCCCUUCAUAAAUUUGGAGCUAUAAUAAUUUGGUGAAUUGAUUGGUGUGAUGAUAACUGACUACUAACUCUAAGAUGGAGAUCACAAUGAAUUGCUAGUUUGCUACUGCUCAUUUUCUGUGCUAGUUCUUGGCUUACUACAAAUUAACAAUGCAAAAGAAACAGAAGGCGGCAGCAGCAGCAGCAAGUGCUUGUGCAGUACAUGUGCUUGCUCAGGUGGCUACAAAGGUCGGACACACUCGUGGAUCGCAAUAGCUCUCUCUUAAGUCCUAAGGAACUAUAUAUGGUUCUACAUGUUCCCAAAUCACAGGCAUUUUUUCUCUGCAAAGUACAGGUUCAAGCACAUGGACCUGAUUGCUCAUUGCCUCACCCUGCCGACCUCAACCGAAUCAUUGAUGAACCGCCAAGUGUUUCUUUCAUGUGGCACUUCAAUAAACAUGGACCGGGAAAAAGAUGUUUUGCAAAUUGCAAGUGACUCACUCCACAUGCAUUUUUGGUCAGCACAAAAGAAAGCAAACACAUCUGCUUAUGCUGCUGCUGCUGCACUUGUGAUUGUUCUUCCUUCUUUAAUAUUUCAGCUCUCUCACUAAAGAACGAAAUGGUCUUGAGGAGGAGCCUCACAACAGCUGAAACAAUAGACUGCCUAUCACUGUCUGUCCUCUCUGAUUUGUGCCUGCAGGGUUUGCUUAACCCGGUUUGGAUUAUAUAAACUCUGUGUGAACAGCAUGUCAGUGAUCGAAUGCCACGCCUAUCAGCAGACGACAAUGGAGGAAAGGAAAGGGGAGGAUCGUUGGUCAAUCCAUCUCAGGGCUCCUCUGGCUUCCCUCAAGACAAAGGCAUCAGGCUAAUUUGUCUUCCCCAACCCUUGCCUGGAUUCUUGAUGGGGUCCUUGGCUUCUUUCAGCUCCCAAUAAUUUCCUACUAGUAGCAAUAGACAAGUGGGUGCCCCUUUGUAGAUAGACCAUAGACGGCCAAGGGUUACAGAGUUGCUUCAUGGACAAGGCCAACACAGAUUAGUCAGAGGCAUGCACCCCCACUCCAAAGGCAUUGACAGUGGGCUGCACUGUGUGGGGGCUAUGAAAGCAACCUGAAAAGGGAUUUUUCAUGGUGUGGUGCAAAUGUGAUGCAUCAUGCUUUGAAGAAAAGGAUGCUAAUUCAAGGCUUUAGCUUUCACUAAUGGGGGUUUUCAAUUCCUAAUGUUCACAUUGCUAUGGUGGUGUUGUGAGUAAAAACUGUGCUGUGAUGCUGAACGGGAGAUGGCUUCCUAGGGGGGAAAAUUUCUGAAUUUCCAUAUCUUCCUAUGAUUGAUCUUUACCUACCUCCGAUGGGUAGAUUGCUUUCUUGAUUGCUUGCUUGCUUAUUCUCUGCAAGAUUUGAGGUUUUUCUUUUUGUUGAAGGAAGAAGUGUGACAUCACCUCACGCUAGAUUUGAUUAGACUUGAUGAACGACCCCCUCCUAAUUCAUUAACACAUCAGGAUCUCUAAAUCCAUAUGUUCUCACUGGUCCAACCUUCAAGGCUUCAAAAAACAAAUGAAAAAUCUGGUCAUGACAUCGCGUGUUGUUCAACCGAUAUCGUUGACGACAAAUCGACAAAUAACAUAUUAUCAAUUGCUAGUAUUUUGGUACCUGCGCUUUUUUGUUGUCAACCAUGGUCAAUUUAUGGAUUCUGUCAAGUGUCAACAAUAUUGCCUAGUGCUUGCCCUAAGUGUUGAAGGUGACCUGUUGCUUGGCCAGCCAAACUUCUGCCUAACCCUGUCCCUAUUUGUGAACUGAAAUCUGAUUGUAUGCAUUCAUCUUAUAGUGGCUUGUUAGUGUAUUUUCCUGUUGUUCUCUGCUACUAUCUGAUUUCUAUGCUUUCAAAUUUCAGACCCACCAUGUGCAGCUAUGUACCUAAAAUUGGUCAGUUUUUUGCCUUUGAUGAAACGAUGGUAUGGAGUUGUAUUUUCUAGUGACCAUGAGAAGAUUGUAGUUGACAUAUUCUGUGUAUAAGCAUUUUGAGGUAGGUAAGAGGACCACGGUAUCUUAAGAAUAUUUUAAAUAGUGUAGCUUAUUUAGACAGAGUAUGUUUUUAGGUUAUGGAAGCUGAAAGAGCAUUUUUAAUCAUUUGACUAAUGUUUUCAACUAUCUAAUGAAAUCAAAUGUUGACAUAUUUGGCAGGGACAGGUUAAGGAGUUCAUCUCCUGCGUGAAGUAAAGGGCUGCCUUGUCCAAACUUUGUUCCUAAUUAGCUAAGCUCUAUGUUGACUUGUCCCUGAUUGACAACUUGACAGGUACAUAUCUUUUCCUUUUUAAAUAAGGGCGUAAUGAUAUUUCCCCCUCUUUUUCAAAGAAAAAUUGCACAUAAGCUAUGUCCUAAGGUGAACCAAUUUGUGCAUCCUAUGUGUUUUGGUUUAGACUUAUAUUAGUGGGUCCAAGACAGUAGACGAUUAGGUACUGAAGUGCAUAGCCUUUACUUCUUCAAGCACACAAACAGAACAUUGAUAUAGAUUAACUUUAUGAUGCUUCAAGCUAAGUAGCUUCUGUUAUUGCACAAUUGACUGUCACAACGCUGAGGGCUUUUAAGGAAAGAUGGUUCCACCGGAUCUGAUUGUUUGGUUAGUAAGCUUGAAAUCCUUUACUUAAAACCCUGUUAACUGAAGAAAACCAAGUCGUCCAAGUCUAUUUUGUAAGGAAUGUGAGUCAUCACUGGCAGACAAUUCCAAUCAGAGCUUUACAACUGUCUUAGACUUGGCCUGACCUACGAUAAACUAUUUCUAAUACUAAAAACAAGAUUACUAAGUCUCCCUGGAUCACACUACUCACUAGGUCAUGGAAUAUGCUUGCAUUGAAAAAAAAAAGCAUCUUUGUGGCUGCAUGCUUGUUGGAUAUUACCUCCAUGUUAUAAUAUAUGACGCUGUUAACUUUUUGACCAACGUUUGGCCAUUCAUCUUAUUCAAAAUUUUUGUGUAAAUAUAAAAAUAUUUAUGUCAUACUUAAAGAACAUUUGAUGAUAAAUCAAGCCACAAUAAAAUAAAUGAUAAUUAUAUAAAUUUUUUUGAAUAAGACGAAUGAUCAAACUUAUCUCAAAAAGUCAACGGCAUCAUAUAUUAAAAAACGGAGGGAGUAUAUAUUAGCAAAAGGAUUAAGAAGUGCAACAAGAUGAGAAGAGUUAAUAGAAAGUCUUGACCCCGAGGCAGGGCAAAGAAUGUGACACUACUUGCAAACAGAGAAGAGAUGCCAUGAAAAGCCAAACACAAAAGAUAACUGACCUUUCUCUAGUUGUCACCACAGUAUAUGCUACUCCCGAUUAGAAGCAAUUCCUUUGACCAAUCCGGCUACGUGAACGCGCUAAUUGGCCUGCACUGCCUUGGCUAUAUUGGAUUGCCAAACCUUUAUGCAAAAGUGAAAAAAGACCAAAUCAAAAGGGGAGAGAAAAAUGCCAUUGCCACCAUGUAUGAACAUAGGAUGAACAAAGGGUAGCCGCAAUUUCAGUUAUAGUUGAGAAUGAACAGAGUUUGUACUUUCUACUCAUGGAAUCGUAUGAGCACCGAGUACGUACCUCAUGGUACUUUUCUUGCUUCAGUUGCAUUGCCUCAAGAGGCACAUAACUAGCUUCUGUUAGAUUUUUCCUUCGAUUAAAAACCAGCUUCUUCUAGACUACUCUAGAUUCUAGAACCUAAGACAUACAGGAGACUUUUGGAUUAUAACCAUUUCUUUUGAAUCUUUUUUUUAAUACGCAAAAAACUCGCAUAUCUUUUAUAUUAAGGAAGGAGUUUGUAUACACCGCGCUAACUAUAAAAGAGAAAACAACAGAAAAAGGGGAAAACUCAGAAGGCUACAGUAGGUCUAUCUCCUGCAGCCGAUUUUCCCGACUAAAGAGGGGCGACGUGCUUGCGUUAGAUGGGUGUUCUGGCCAUGCGCCCGAGCGCAGGUUCUUUUGCCACGUCUCGAGCCACCUCGGCCUAGGUUCUAGAUUGGUUGUUUAAAACGACCCUGUUUCGCUCCUUCCGAAUGAUUUAUUCUAAUAUAAAUCGGUGAAAUUCUAACGCUUUAACCCAUCCUAAUAGUUUCAAAAAUAUUGUGUGCUAUUACAAGAAUGGGUAUUUUUUAAGGACCAAAUCAAACUUUUAAAUAUAUCCCAAUACCCAGGGUAAAAUCAAGGGUUCUUCUAUUGCAGACUACAGCAAGAAUAUGGGAUAUCAUAAAAUUGGCAUGGAUAUUACAUCGUGGAUUAAUUUAACUGAAACAAGUUAAUUGCUAUAUGCGUGCGGUAAUUUACAUAAACAUCAGGUAAUGCAUAGCAGUGGUGUCUAUGUAAGUCUAGGAUAAGAGAGGUUACCGCUGCAAUAUACCUUGCUUGCCCGGGAGUUCAAGUUGCUUCUUGUCAACUUGAAAAAACUGACGUGAUGAUGGCAUGUGAUCCGAACGCCAUUGCCUCUGGUUCAGAGCUGUCAGCAGCAGAAGAAAAGUUGUCAACAAAAGGCAAUUGCCCUUUGCUGGAUGUGAAACUUCGCAUCUUCACUUUGCAUGCUAGCUACUAGUGUUACUUUGCAUGUAUCCCUUUGAUAAAAAAAAAAAAGCUUGUAUGUUUGCCUCCACUACCAUAUAUGCUGCUAAGAAAAUAUGUCUACAUGAAUUGAUCAUGUAAACAUCAUACAAUUAUUUGGACAAAGAAAGAAAUUCAUGCAUUCCAUGUAAUACUCCUAGCUAGGUUUGAUUUCAGUCCAUGUCUAGGUUAGUAGACAAAUAUUUGCUAGUGAUGCAUCUGCGAUAUGGUUAGGGUGAGGACGGUCUUCGCUCCCGUCAACACAGUUUGCAUCUACAUAGUCUAUAGGUGCUUCUUUCAUAAUAAGAGUAAUAUACGACUCUCAUUGUCUGCUUGUUGGUUUAUCGGCUAGAGUCAAAAUUUGAAUUUUAAAAUAUAGAAUUUUAAAAUUUAGAGUUAUUUCUUUUUGGGGGGAGGGGGAGGGGGUGGGUCAUUGCAGUCUACUGUAGUUUUUGGUUGUUUCGUUUUUUUACUCAAUAUGUGUGCUCGGUAGAAAACCCAUGUUGAAGGCUGUGAAAUCUCGCAGAAAUUCUAAUGUAUGGAGUGAACCGUGGAUGCGUUUAUGAGUAUGCAUAGGUGUGCAUGUUUGUAUACGUGGCGUGAGCUGUUCUUGCGUGUGGUAUAUGUCCUUACUGUGCACUAUUCAGAAACAGGAGAUAAAUGUUUAUGGUGGUCCUCAAUUCACUAUCUAAAUUUUAAUAUUUGACCCUUAGAUCUCCCAUAAUAAUUGAUAGAAAACUGUACUCCCAGCUGUACUUUUGUACACACACUAGAUUAGAGGAUUAAGCUCUAAGUAAUAUGUCCAAGUCUUUUUCAUCGUACUAUUGUAAAGGGCCAACAAGGGAGCGUGUAUUGCGGGAAAGUAAAGGAAAAACAGAUUUUUUUUAAAAAAAAAGUAGAGGAUUCACACAUCCAAUGGUCAUGCCUUUCCAAUCCCCCUCAAAUUGGAAAAAGUUCUAACCAUACAAAAUACUGUUCAGUUUUAUGACAACACGCUUGAUUUUUUUUUCUUCUUUUUAUAUAUAUUGCACUUGAUCAGUCUCAUCGUCCUGCCUUGAUCAUUUGAUGUAAUCACUUCGAGCAGCAGAUUGACUGUGCUCACAUGUUGGCACUGUCUGUUUGCUCCCACAUUGGAAAGCUAAGGCUCUCAAUCAUUUGGUUGCACGGUUUAUAUUGUCAUAUUCUGGGGCCCUCAUUUUGCUGUCUUACAUAAUCACUUGAAUUAGUGUUUUUAGGUGAAACACCAUUGCCUGUCUCAUCAAAGAUAACAAAAUGGCUAAAUGGUACAUUAAUACACCUUUUAGGCUAAAUAUAUGAUAAUAUAUUCUUCUUAAAAUCAUCCCUGGCAUACAUGCGACAUCAACGGCUUUUUCUCUCUCUCCUCCACAUUAGGAUUUGCUGAUAUAGGAUUAUGACAUCUGAGUUGGCCUAAUUCUACAUGUCCUAAGGAAUGGAAAUGGACAUCCAGCUGGGUUUAUUGUACUAGCCAUUAAGAACAUUUUUUUUAGGCUAAUUAUUCCUUAGUUUGAGGGAGGGGCAACCCAAUGAGCCGGGAUAAAGGGAUAAGCAACCAAUGAUUGGUCCCUUUUGGUCCAAUCAGAAACCCAAUAAAAUCUCUACUCAUCCUUUGGGAGAAAGUGGUGAAAGAAAAUAAAACUAAAAUAAAAGAAGAGGCAAUUGAAGGUGAGGGUCCCAGCAGGGGGCACUAGCUAGCAAGUAGUAGGAAGCAUGCAGUUUGUUUAGCGUCACUGUCUGCCAUUGCUACAGACAUUUCGCAUUCACUGGCGUCGUGUGGCCGGCGAGCCAUCGAGUGCAAGGAAACGUAUACACUGACCUCUGAUUGGAUUCGUCGUCGUCUAAGGCGUUGAGGUGGAUCUUGUGUAAGCAUGCCAUCAUCUAUGUUUUUCCCCUUCAUUCCUUUCUCAUCUUCUCUUAAUUUCUUCAUACAUCAUCUACUCUUACUUUCUUCGUACUAGUAACAUGCCCGAGCAUUGUAACGGGCUGGAUGUGGCGUAGGCAAGAGCCCUAGGCUUGCCUCCGCAUAAAUAUGUCUGGAUCCUUUUAAACCAGUGUAUUUUUUGACAAAGCCAAUAUCCUAUUAGUUAAGCUUUACUCGAGCUCUAGGAUUAGAAAAUUUCUGGCUCCGCCGACCCAUACAACAGGAUGGAUGGGCUGGGAGUAUGGAUCGAGCAUAAAACACUGAAUUUAACCAGUUUUUUGGGUUAAUUAACCAACCAUUUAGGUUUUCGCACUUGCGUGAUUUGGGAAGGAGUGAGCGGGCGACUCCAAUUUUAAGUGAUAGAGAAUGGACUAGUAGGACCAAUUGCUAAUUAACUCAGGAUGGUAUUAUGUGAUGCUGCAGGGAUUUUUAUGGCCUUAAGUAGACAGCACAUAUCAUUCUGUUCCUUUGAAAGUGAAAGCUAUAGUUUUAAUUUUGGGAUUUAAUUUUAAGAAUAAUUUUAGGUGGUAUUUUUUCUACUCAUCGUCCCAAAGCAGACAUACUAAUACCAUGCAUACUGAGUUUAAUAUUGUUAACAUUACAUUCAAAUAACUAAAAGCACUUUUGGUAGGCAUCUUUUGUACGGCACCAGUACCCUCUAGCUUGAGAUAGUGUCAUCCUUAUAUAGAGCUAGCCAGUGCCAUCCUUAAUUUAUAUAGAAUUGCUUCAUAUUAUGCAUAGAUAAAAUUUACAAUUGUGGCUCUGUCAACAAAGAUAAUCCGUUGACAUUGGGCAAAGAUUUUGUGGUUGUUUUCGCAGCAAGUUGGUUGAAAAAUGUUACGGAAGCCAUGCAAAGAAAAGGAACUAUACUUCAAGGAAGGCAAACAGAAGAAGUUACUGUUUGGAACAAAAGAUUCAACCUUGACCUCAGCAAUAUACUACACCACUUUUUACUGAGAAAAAAAAAGGAUGUUGUCACAAAUUUCUUGUGAACAACUCACAGAAAGUCACUGCGUAAUAAUUAAUUUCACUUUUACUUAAAAGAAAGAGGCUGACACAAAGUUCUUGUGACAAAUCCUGAUAUGUCAAUGUUGAGAGGGUGCUCAUGAAUUUCCUUAUCAUGAGAUAGCCUAAAUAUUUUUUUACAAAAAGAAAUAUGUAAGCUCUGCCUCGUUUCAUCCAAAAAGAGAUAGUACACUAAUAAUGCGGAGGGGACAAUAGAAUCAAAGCAGAUUAAGGACCUAGAAAUUGUUUCAUCAAAGGGCUAAAUGACAGAAUUCAUAUAGUAAAGAGACCAAUUCUUCGUACGUGUAGAAUCGAUUGGGAUAACUAACUGGCCAAAGCAACGUACUGAGUAGAUGUCGUCAUGGACGGCAGGUUAAACAAUUUAAUCUAAAACAACUGCAAUUAAGCAUGCAGUACUGUCACUAUUGUCUAUUGAUGUACCGUGUUGGAGCUAGUUACUUCAGACUUGCAAAUAUUAGUUUUGUCACCCUAAUGGCGACAUGCAGACCAAUGCAACCAUUUUACGUGGCCUGUUUGCUUGCUUCAAUCUGACAUUCUGACCUAUGCUUGUUGCUUUGAUGUCACUAGUAGCUAACUAAGUAGUAUAUUCUUUGCUGCUAGUGUAGCUUUUUGAACUUAUAUAUUAUUUACCAGGAAGUAAUCAAGAUGUAUUCAUUAGCUGGUCAGUCACUAGUUAAUUACUUUGUGCAUGCUUUUGUAUUGGUAUUGUGGAAGAAAAGAUUAGCUAAGAGAAGGGAGAAGAGUAAAACCCACGUUAUAUUAUCAACUUACAUUAUUCUAAAAUUUUAACUAGUCCUCUUCAACCAUGGGUAUAACAAAUCAGAGGAAGAUAGGAGAUUGUACAAGGACAGCUCCACACUAAUGUUUGAGUUUGACAGCAAUAUAAUGCUAUGCACAUGUUCUUAAUUAUUUGAAAACUUGUUAGGAAAAACUAGCAAUCAACCUGCCAAACCUAAGCUAAGCUAGCUAGCCAUGCACUGCAAGCUAUUGCAAAGCUUUUAUCCCAACUCUUAAGUGUGGCACAUAUAUAGUUUUAGGUUUAUAUUUAUGAAAACCUAGGUUAACACAAAAUAUGUGCAUGCAAAUGUGGGCCCAACAAGCACCUUGGAGUGGGCCCCACAUCCAAUGUUUUAGUGGAAAGGUGUUGCUCAAAAGAGGGGAGGAAAGAAAGGGUUAAGGUAGAGAGGUUGCCCUAAGCUAGCAAAGCUAUAGCUAGCGCAAAAGAGGAGCAAGAAAAGGAGCAGAGGAAUAUAUAAAAAAAAUGCAUCAUUGCAGUUGCAGUGCAGCUAGCCACACGAUCGAAUGAUCGAUCGAAGAAUACGAUGCCCCUCCAAAUCUGAUCCUGCAUGCAGCUAGCUUAGCUUAAUCAGUUACUUUUUUUUUGUGUUUUGGCAAUGAGCAUAAUUAGUUACUUGCACGAUUUGAUCGGCGACAGAGUUAAUGGCUGGUGCUGAUUGAUCGAUUUGAUUAAUUGAUUGUACUCAGGAGAUGCUGCGUGCGUGCCUGCAUGAGUCCAUGGAUUAAGAAAGGAAUUAUCUGUCAGAUCGGUUUAAUUAGUCUGUUUCUUAGAUUAGCUAGCUUGCAACCGGCGAUUCUGCCAGACAGAUUGGCGAACCGGAAUAUAAUUAUACUACCAGUUAAGCACGAUAUUGGAUUCGACUUGAUCAGGAACAAGGUUGUACGUGGGUUGCCUUUUAUUUUUUCACAGUAGAUUGCUAUGGCCUAGUGGUUUGGUUAGAUAUUGGGGUUUUUAAUGUGUUUUUCUUUAAAAAAACGCAAAUUAACACUAGCGUACGAUCAUUUUAGCAAAGUUGUAAGGGGAUAAAAUAAAGUCACCCUAUAAAACUUUUAUAGCGGAGCCGGUUAACGCCCGACUGUUUUAAACAGUUGAUCGGACUCGCCAACGUAUAACAAGAGGUAGAAAUUCAGAGUCGUUGAUAUCACUGUAUUAGACGAUGUUGAUGGUAUGUCAUAGUGGCUUUUGUCUAGGAUAUGAAAAAAAUCCUAAAUCCACCACUGCUUCAUUAAUUGUUUGUGUAGAACGCUAGUUUAAUUAUUCUUUAUAUUAUGUACAAAGCUAGUAGUUUAAUUGUUGUAGCGCGCAUAAAUUGCAGGUAGUUUCACAAGGAAAUGCACCACCAUUCCUCUUGGGAUUAAAAUUACACCAUUAUCUCCUCCUUAAUAUAACACCAGCUUAGCCUGGCUUUGGUUAAAAAAAAUUACACAAUUAUUUAUAUAUAUCACGCACGUUGUAAAUUCAAUCCGAGUCGAAUGCAAUGAAACCGAGUGCGUACGUGCUCCAGUCAACGGUGGUGUGUAUCACAUCUACCGCAGGAAAAGGGCGCCAAAAGGCAGAGUAAUUUUCACACACAUUCCUCCACCGCGCCGUCAAAAAUCCCAAAAUUUCCACGUAAAAACACAAAAAAAAAAAAAGUACACCAAAGAGCAACCAAACUAAUUACCCUACUAAUCAAUUUCCCGUGAGAAAAAAAAAUCAAGAAAUCCAGUGCAGAAAACCUAAAACACCAAAAAAAAAGAAAAAAAGAAGAAGCAGUGCUUGCCAAUUCGGAGAAGGCAUCGAGCUGAAGCCACAGGGCGAUCGAUGGAGGUGAGGUGAGGAGGAAGAAGAAGACGAGAUGGAGUUGGAGUGCACUUCACGCCACAUGAGGGAGAUGCUAUAAAAUCCCUUCUCCCUUUUCAAUUUCACGCCAACACCCAACCCCCUCUCUCUCUCUAUCUCUCUCCUCUCUCUCUCUCUAGCUCUAGCUCUAGCUCGUCGCCGCCAUGAACGUUCCAAGCAAAUGCAUGGCUCCUGCAAAGUAAAAAAAGAAGAAGAAGCAGCAGCUGCAGCUUCUCUUCAGUAUCGAUCUUUAACUGUAUCGAGCUAGCUUAGCUUAGCUUAGCUCUCUGCCAUUAACUUGUGCUUCACUGAGCUUGAGCUAGCUAGCUUCUUGGCUGUGUGACUGAGUAGCUCUAGCUCCUCGUCGUCGUCGUCGUCGUCGUCGUCGUCGGCGUCGGUGGUGGUGUGAAUUGAUAGAAUUGAUACGAUGGAGAGGGCGGCUGCGGCGGCGCCGGUGGUGGUGAGGCAUGGAGGAGUGGUGUUGCCGCCGGGGUUCAGGUUCCACCCGACGGACGAGGAGCUCGUGGUGCAGUACCUCCGCCGCAAGGCGUUCGGCCUGCCGCUCCCCGCCGCCGUCAUCCCCGACCUCCACAACCUCUUCAAGCUCGAUCCCUGGGACAUUCCUGGUACGAAUUCUUGACGACGACGACGAUGUCGAGAUGGCACCAUGAAUGCUUGUUGAUUGAUUCGGUGUAUGUGUGAUCCAGGUGCGAGCAGCGACGGGGACAAGUACUUCUUCGCCGUGCGGCCACCUGCGGCGAGGGGGAGGAGGCAGCAUGUGACGGCGAGCGGUGGGUGCUGGAAGCCGGCGGGCGGGCGGGACAAGCCGGUGGUGGUGGCCCGGUGCGGCGGGAGCCACCUCGUCGGCGUCAAGAAGGGCAUGGUGUUCGUCCCACGGCAAGGGAGGAAGGCACCGGCGGCGGCGGCGGCGGCCGCCGGCGGUGGCUGCUGGGUCAUGCACGAGUACAGCCUCGCCCUGCCGAUGCACAAGAAGGUGAGAAACCACUACUAAUCAAUCAUAUGAGCAUAUGAUUUCCUCCUUAAUGAUUGAUUAAUCACUCUCUUGAUGACUAGUUGACUGCCAAUUUGCCCAUUUCUUCAUGCAAGAACUGAUUGUGUUUGUUGAUUGAUUUGUUUUCUUUCUUGAUAAAUCUUCUUGUGUUUCUGCAUGCAUGCAACUCAAGUGAGCAAGCUUGAUAAAUCUUCUUGAGCAUUAAUUUGGGAUCCAAUAUUAAGCUCAAGCUAGCUUAGCUUAGCUUCUCAAAGUGCUACUACUAGCUAACUUGAUCAUAUGUUUGCUUAUCACUAUUUUUAUUAGUUAUUUUUAAAAUUACUAGCUAUAUGGCUUUCAAGAUCAUGUCACAUGCUCUCCAUUAGCUUAAAGCUGUAUAUUUGUCUUAAAUUACUAAUUAGAUAAUUCUGAUAGCCACAGCAUAGGUACAAAUCAGUUAACCAGUCAAGUACUAUGCUAGAAUUUGCCAAUAAAUAAAACAAAAAAAACCCAGUUCAACACAAACUUCUCAGCCAUAACUAAUUAACCGAGGAGCAUCAUACAAAUUAACACAUACAGGCAGGGUACAGUCUGCACAUCAAACUGUCACAACAUGCUCAUUAAUAGUCAUGAUCAACAACAACAAUAACUCGCAGUUUUAAAUUGCUUCUGAUGGUGGUUGCAAUUCAUCCUGACAUGGAGAGGUGGCUGUACUAGAUGCUCUCUGCUCAUCAGAUCGAAUCGUCUCAUCAAGUUGUGCAGCUCCACUACUACCAGUAUCUGCUAGUACUAGUACUACUAGCCACUCUCUUGCAUAUAUGCAAGAACCAACCAAACCAACCCAGCAGCAUCCAAUUAAGCUGACAAACAAGUAGUACCUCAGGCUAUUAAUCAUGUUUGUUGGGAUUACAUUAACUAAUGCUUAAUUAGCCAGAACAACAGUGUUCCAUGCCUGCUCCUGUGUCUGAACAAGCUGGGGCCUGUAUAUAUUUCAAUGCUGUCCAGUAGAUCGACCAGUGCUGUUGUGGCCAGUUCUGUGGCCACUGUUGAAGAUAUGUGCAGUAGAUGUUCAUGCUCGUUUUGAUUGAGAGAAUCUUGAAAUUAAAACACCUUGCUGGCAAUUAGUUUGAUUGACAAGCUGUACUUGAAUGCUACAUCUCGUAUAUCUACUUUUUUUUUUGAAGAAAGAUGCUUGAAUGCCCUAGAAUUCAUGUAGUUAUAUUUUCUGAAGUUUGAUCGUAAAUACAUAUAUAAAACCAUCUGAACUUGUUACAUGAAAAUUAUCAUUGCAAUUGUCAUUUAAAAAACUUUCAUGAUAUUAAUUUUGCUAGUAUAUUUUAGUGUAAAAUUAAUUAAAUUAGCCUGGAUUAGUACAUAGUGUAGUAGGAGUAGCUAGUACCAUUCCUUGCAAUAUCACUACUAAUGCUAACACUGUGUUUCACUGCUGUUGCUAGAACAGACUGAACAGUAGGAUUUGCACUUGAAUUUCAGCAUAUAUUAAAAAUAAAGUACAGAGGAUAGAAUUCCAGAAGAAAGACCAUAAAUUUUGAACAGUUUUUAGGUUGCUUAAGCUUGUGUGUCCUUUGUAAACAAUGUGAAAACUACAAAAGAGUAUUUCAAGAAAAAAAAGGGAAAAAUUAAAAAAAAUGAGUACAUGGACAGAAACAACUGAAGUUUUCAAACACAGCUAAAGCUGGAAUGUUCUUAGAUCGAUGAAGCUGACAUAUUUUUUUUUCUGAUUUGUGUGAACGAUCUCUGCAGGGUUGCUUGGCUGAGGCUGAAGAAUGGGUAGUGUGCCGGAUAUUUCAGAGGAGCAGCAGCGGCAGCCGGUCGCCGAGGAGGCCUGACAACGACGUGAGGCGAACGAUGCCGGCCGUCGCCGAGCUCGGCCGGUCGCCGUCGCCAUCGUCGUCGUCGUCGCAAUCCAGCUGCGUCACAAGCAGCUCCGACCAGGAAGAGGUCAGCAGCGGCUAGCUAGCUGAAGAAGAAUGCAGGCAGCAGCAGCAAGCAGCUAAGCUGCCUCUCAAAGAGAGGCUUGAGUGUUAGCCUAGCUAAGCAUAUAUAUUUAUAGCCGGCCAAACCCUCUGAAAGUGAUCUGCAUCAAUGCAUGCCCCCCUUUAAUUUCUUCUUCCUCCUUAAUUAUUUUUUCCCAACCAUGUAAUGUAAUGUAAUUUAAUGUAAUGCAGUGUAAUGUAACGGGAAGGAAGCACUGAAUUAAUCAAAUUAAAUUAACAAAUGAAGAGUGCUCAAAAGUCCAAGGAAGCUUCUAAGGUUCAGGAGCCAGAUAUUAUCUACUUAAUUAAUUAAUUAUGGGCACAUAUCUGUAGUUGCUAGCUAGCUGCAUAUGCAUCUCGUCGUUGUCGAUCCAUUUGUAACUUGCAAGUUGUGUUGGUGUAAUAUUGUAAUAUUUUUCUCCGAUGGUUGAGAAAUUAAUCUGAAAUCCAUUAUAGCAAUUAAUUGCAACUGUUGCAUGUCUCAUUCUUUUUUUCUUUGCUUUGUUUUCAGACUCAUGUACUCUACAUGAGUUGCAUGUCUCAUUCCUUAACUACCCUGUACUCUACAUGAGUUGCUUAUGCCUCACCAACUCAUGUUCACAUACAUAGAGAUGAUUUUUUUUUCUGAGAGAUAUAUCAUUCUGUAUCACAUAAAUAACUUAUCUUAGAAUAAAAUGAUAAGUGUGCUUAAGAGUUGAUAAGGCAUACUACAUAACUUCAUUUCCCCACAAAAGAAGGCAUACAAUCAACAGCAUUUAGCACAAUAAGAAGCUAGCUAAAACUCUUGACAAAUAAAAGGCUGCUAUCAUGCGUGCACAUAGACAUGCAUGCACAUAUAUGUUAAUUAUUAUUAGGUUAAGGAUCAACAUAACUAAAUUAUAUGAGUAGCUAGUGCUUGUCUGCUCUGCCAAGAGAGAAAGCUGCACAACACCUAAUGCCACCUGUAGGUGCUAAUGCUUUAACAGUGCUGUUCUUUUAAUAGUGUAGAUCCUCAUUUUAUUUUCCUUCUUUAAGAGAGGGAUCCUUGUUUGCUUUGUGAUCCAUAUAAACGUAAGCAACUCCAUUAAUCUCCAUUCCAGCUGGAUUAAUUAUUAAUGCACUAUAAUUAAUUCAGUACUGUCCGACAAAGCAUACAAUUCUUGUACUAGUUCUGCAAGAAAAAUUAAAAAAGCAAUACUUCCUCUGUGCUAAAAUAAAUAUAGUUUUACACUGUUCAUGUCUAACGUUUGACUGUUCAUCUUAUAUAACAUUUUUUUAUAGUAUUUUUGUUGUUAUUAGAUGAUAAAACUAGUACUUCAUAUGUGACUAUUUUUUUAAUAAAUUUUUCAAAUAAGAUAAAUGGUCAAACGUUGAACAUGGAUACUCACGACUGCACUUAUUUUAGGGCGGAGAUAGUAUUUAAUUAAACACACAUAACCAUAUGAGCUAAGAGCAUGUUUAAUUAGAACAUAGAAAUUCUGAAAGAAUUCCACAAUAAUAUAAUCAGUUCAUUUCCUACCAGCAUGAAAAAGAACAGAUGCUCCAAACAGAACCUAAUUAAGAUUGUCAUGCAUGCAAAGAGAGUUUAGCUAGACUUGAAGGAAAUAAACAACCAAAAGCUUAAUUACAAUAGGAUAAGGGUGGCAAUGGACGAGUGGUUUGAGAAAGAGAUGCUUUCCAAUGUGCAAAAUGAGAGAGAUAGUAGAUGAUAGCCUUCAGCUUGAGCUUUGAUCUCAUUCAGUGGGAGAGAGUGUGUGUGUGGGUGGGCCCAGUGAUAGCCAAGCGAAUCCACUCUAGAUUUGGCUUUGAAUAAUAAAGGCCAUGUGUCACACUCACCAACAGCGACCCACACAGGCCACUAAUCACAAACAUAUAUGGUGAGAUUUUGCUUAAGCUAUAGCUCACCCAUUUGGUAGGCUCACCUCCAUUAAGGCACAAAUAAUUAGCCGCAUAAAUACUUUCUCUUCACCUUUUAUGGCCCUUUUGUUUCUUCCCUUAACUUUGUCCAAUCCAACCAAAUAUCAUAUCAGUGACUGAAUCAUAUAUCCGCUGAUCUUGAAGAUUCUCCUUUAUAGUUUGAGAAAAACAAAACAACGGUUAUACAUAUUAACUAUCGCCAACCUUAGAUAGGAAUUUAGCAAUUGGUGUCAUCUCUAUCUUUAAGAUGAUGUUUUAAGUAAUUAUUUUAUUUCAAUUAAGUUGUGAUUUUAUAGUUUACAAUAGUUCGUCCUGGACCCUCUAUAAUAAUUAGCUGUAUUUUUUUCAAGCAAAUUAAGACUGAAAUAAAUUUUAUUAAUAAAAAAAGUGUGUAUAUGCCUAGAAAAAGUUUAACACGAAAUAUAUUCAGGUUUGGCUAAAUUGGAUGCUAAUUUGCAACCAUCCAUCACUUUCUGAACUGACUGUUUCUUUUUCCUCUCAGAUAGAUAGCUGGAUGGAUGGAUGGAUAGAAAGAUGUUCGCAUGGUUGAUUGGCUAUCUAGCUAAGCUGCUCCCCGGUUGCCUGAAUCCUCAGAACUGCAUCAUCUUCAAGUCGCUAAUCCAGCACCCAUUUGAGCGUGACAGGUUGAUUAAUUGCAGUACGUAUAUGCACUGUGUCGCCUACGCUACACGUCGUUGCUUCAGCUCUCUGAACUCGUGUACAGGGACAGUCUCGACUACUGUUCAUGCAGAGCAGUGUGCAGUGCAGCAUAUAUACAUGCACCCAUCCUGACCUGUAAUUUUCAGGCGUAUUCAGCCUAGAUCGCGAUGAACAAAUCGAUAGACUGAUUGAUGUAUCAUCAUCAUCACUACUCUAUCAAUCCAAGAUCCAAGGUUAAUUAGCCUCUUCUUUUUUGCAUAGCGAUCGAUCGAUCGAGCCAUGUGUAUAUUUGCUGAUAGAUGUUUACAGCUAUAGCUAGCUAGAUGCAGGUUAGGAAUCAGCAGGGAUCAGAAUUGAAUAUAUAUAUAUAGUUGUGAAGAAUGCGACAUGGCGAAAUAGAUAGAUAAUUAGAUGCAUAUUGCGAGCUGGCUAGAACUGGACGGCGCCUGAAGAAAUAAAAUUGAUCUUAUGAAUUCUUUCUAGGGACCAUGAUUGAUUUAUUUCAGUGAGGUGUGUUCUAGCUGAUUACUCGUAGCAGUACAAUUGAGCAGUUGCAGCAUCUGUUGCUUUCGAUAUCUUGUACAAAUUUUUCCAAGGCUUAUUGUCUAGCUGUUAGAGUUUGUGUCAAAUAUGUGUAUGUAGUCGGUUACAGUUUAGGACAUGGAGUUGUAAUAGGUAUUAGGAUUAGAGUAAGAGUCGGACUCUGUCCUAGGAUCUCUCAUAAAUAGAGGGGCGUGCCUGUUGUAAUCGCAUGGCGACAUAGCAUAGCGAGAGGGAGCGGCUGCCGGCGGCGACCGACCGUGAGUCGUUGUAGCUCUGAUACCACUUAGGUUGGCAUGGCAUAUUCGCCAAGGUGGAGUUUGUUAGAGUUUGUGCCAAAUAUGUGUACGUAGUCGGUUACAGUUUAGGACAUGAAGUUGUAAUAGGUAUUAGGAUUAGAGUAAAAGUCGGACUCUGUCCUAAGAUCUCUCAUAAAUAGAGGGGCGUGCCUGUUGUAAUCGCAUGGCGACAUAGCAUAGCGAGAGGGAGCGGCUGCCGGCGGUGACCGGCCGUGAGUCGUUGUAACUCUGAUACGCUGUAAUAUACUGGAUCGGAAAGGAGCGCCCGUAAUCAGUGCCCCGGAGAUAUAGGCCUCGGCUGAACUCCGUUAUCAAAUAUCGUGCCUCGGUGUCGUCAUCGUGUUUGGAUCUCCUAUGGCGUUUUCUUCCACGUUUAGCUACCGAUGUCGAUUUCGGGGCUGGUUUUAUAACACUAACUAACUAAAUUAAAUCUCUUGCAGGUAAGGAGUUGAAAUUCCUCUCAAUUAAUUAAGGUUUCUGAAUCAUCCAUCCAUCGAUCGUUCUAGCUAGUUAGUUAGCAAGCCAUGUGUCUAUCUGUAAUCUCCUGUUAUUACUAGCUCAGUUAAUUUCAAGAAAUAUAUAUGCAUGAUUGAUUUUCAUUUUCGUUGGCAAAAUUGGAGUCGACGAUUGCGGCGUGUGGAAAUUGUGAAGAAAUACUAGUAACAGUCACAUCAAUCUGCUCCUGAUAUAUUCCUCGAGCUAGCUAGAUUCCAACACCGGGUUAGGAGGUGUUUCAGUUUCUCACUCCAGCUAGCUUAGCUAACUGCAUCUAUCUCUCUCUGGUCAGCAGUUGCUUUCAGACAAUUAACUGAAUGAUCAAUGAAUGGAUGAAUAUGUGCAGCUAGCUGAAUGUUCUGGUCCUGGUUCCAGAAGAGAUAAUGUCUGAAGAAUGUGAGUGCAUGCAAAUGCUUGCUUGGUUGCCGGGUGUCUGGGUAACUUCUCCGGCCACACCACGGCACGGCAGCAGCAGACAGGCAGGCUUCUAAUUGUGAAACUCUUCUCACUUCCCACAGCAUCUGAUUUUGACACUUGCAUUUUGACUCGAUUUCAGUGACCAAUUCUCAUUGGCCUUGCAGGUUGGUUAGCAAGUCCAGCUACACCGUGCUUCCAUAUUCAGACACUGACUGACUGACUGACCUGACUUAUCUUCUGCUUAACUUUCUUUAAAGAUGAUAGAAGCUUUUACUGCACAUACUCAAUUACAUUGAGAUAAUACAAUUAUCCUACAAACAUUUCCGACCUCAUAUAGCUAAGAUGUACACAGCGAGACACACACUCCUGAAAAAAUUCAGAGUGAUAAAUCUAUGAAUAAACUAAUAAUGGUGAUGCAUGUUAGUUUAUGCACAGAUCGACCGACCGAAUGAGUAGCUGAAGUAUCAGAUGGAGAUUUAAGAGGAUGUCUGUCUGGCCAGGAUGAUUGUGUUCUUCUUUUCCCCUUGCUGGGCCUACAUGCAGAACAGCAAGAAUGCAAGCAACCAACUGCAGAUAAGGCCGAUGGAUAACUACAGUGCACUAGUGCCAGGACACACCUAACAUCUACUAAUUGAUAAUUGGGAGCGUAUCCUAUGCACACAGGCCCUCGCGUGUACACACCAUGUACACCAACUAAAAAUUAUCACAAAAAAUUCUAGAAAAAUUCAUACAUGUACUUUCAAUAGUAUUACAUCUACGUGCAAAGUCGCAUCUUUAAAUUCAUUCUACAUAGAGAAUAACAAAAAAGAUAAAAUUCUGACAAAAUUGCAAACCUUAAAACUGUCAGAUUUUUUGUUUUUUUUUUGUUACGGCUAAAAUAUAAUGAAUUUGACGUUAAGAUUUUAACCCCUAGGUGUAAUACAAUUGAAAGUAUGUGUAUGAUUUUUUCUAGAUUUUUUGGUGAUAUUUUUUAGUUGGUGUGUACGUGUGUACACGUGAGGGCAUGUGUGUAUAGGAUAUGUUGUCUUGAUAAUUAGCAAUCGAUCACAUAAUUGUGCGUACCCCAGCUAGCUGAUGCUGAUGACCAUCGGUGACGGACCAGUUUUCAUCUUCAGAAAAGAAAAGCCUUCAGAAUGAAGAGAGAACUGCACACAUCAUGUUCAGAGAAGGCCACUCACUGUUGAUGCUUUUAUGGGCUUGAUUCAUCCUAUUAAUGGAGGCCCAUUUAACUUCUAACCCCAUGUAAAUGCAGCCCAGACAAGCAGGCCGGCCCUCCUUUAAUUUACCCAUUUGUUCACACAAUUACUAAUAAAUUAACUAGGGAAUAAAUAAUACCACUAGUAAGUAGUAUUUUAAGAACAAGAUGGUAAGAUGCGAUUAACAGCUGACCUGAUCAAUUGGACAAGGAUUCUAGCAAUAAUGGAAUAGAGAAAGCAGAAAGCAAAGCGGAUAAAUUCGUGAGCAGUUAGCAUUGCAUCAAGUCUACCAAUAAUCAAAUACAGUACUCUAGUCAUGUUUGUUUUUUUGUCCAUUCUUUAGGGCAACUUGCCCCUGAUCACAAUGGACCGUUGAUAGUGCAACAAGCAGGUAACUAAGAGAUUAAACAAUCAAGCAUGUUUGUACAAGUGCCACAUUUUCUAGCUGAAGGAUAUGGCACUACGUACUCCCUCUUAAAAAACGAAUAUAGGAUGCAGCACAUCAUAUUACUAUAAAUUUAAGAUGUAUAUCUAAAUUUGUAGUACUAACAUGUGUCACAUCCUAGGUUGGUUUUUAUAGGAGAAAAGAAGUAGUUGUUUGCUACAUCAUCUUUACGUCACUUAAUACUAGAAAUCUUGGGGAUAAUCACACAGUCUUCGUUUCGAUAAUGCUUAUUAUAAGCCGUAAAUUAGGUUUACAAAAAAAUAGUCUAGAAAUAAGACUUUUGUAUAAAUAUUGUUAGUAAUUUUAAAGAUUUGAAUAAUAAACUAGAUAAAAAGAUUAAAAAAAUAACUUACUGUAAUUUAGAUUUUAAGCUAAAAUGUAAACGGUGAGAAUGAAGGUGAAGAAACAACACAUGCUAGCAUUAGGCUACGUUUCAUACUGCACUUUUUUUAAAUUACGCUAUAAUAAGCAUGCAAUUACAGUUUAUUUCAUUGUGAGUUGUUUUUUAUAACCUAAAGUGUGUUAAGCAUGAUUUUAUCUUAUAUAUUUAUAUAAUUUAAGUAAAAUAAAUAAUUAAACAUGUGUUUAAAAGAUAACGAAUUUAAAAACCGAACGAAGUAGUACUCAAUCAUAAUGUCAGCCGAACGGUUGGGUGGUGACAAAGUGCAGAGCGGCCACCGCAUGCACGAGUGUCAGUAUCAGAUUUGGUUGGCCCGGUAGCAGCAGGCAGCAGCAGCCAAGUUGUUUCUGGAUUUUGGAUUGGCACCCGAAAAACGCGGCCCCUGCACGAUGCAAAGGCCGACGAAACGUGCCGUGCGUGCGCCCCUCCGCCGCGCCGGUGGCUAUCACCUAUCUCACUCUUCUCAUGUUGUAUAGAGCUAUCUCUUCCUCCUAUUCUAAACGCAGCAAUAAAUUUUCGUGUUUAAUUUUGAUCGUUCGUCUCAUUUAUAAAACUUUUUAAAAAAAAUCACAAGUCACGCGUAAAAUAUUGUUCGUGUUUUAUCAUCUAAUAACAAUAAAAGUGUUAUUCAUAAAAUGUUUUUAAAUAAAAUGGCUGAUCAAAAUUAAACAUGAAAACUCAUGGCUUUACUUAAAAUGCGACAAAGUAGUACUUCAUCCGUUUCACAAUGUAAGACUUUCUAGCAUUGCUGAUAUUCAUAUAAUAGAUACUAAUGAAUAUAUAUAUAUAUAUAUAUAUAUAUAUAUAAUAUCUAGAUUUAUUAGCAUCUAUUAUAGACAAUGCUAGAAAAUCUUAAACGGAGGGAGCAUUAGUACUAGGGAGGAGUAACGUGAAAUGGGUGGACAUGUCACGUCGCAGAUGGAUCAAACAGACGGACGGCUCUGCUCUCGUCAACCACUGUUUCCAUCCGCCGUCACCCACUCUGCCCCCCGGUCGGUCAAUCGCACCGCACGGGCGGGUAGCAACGCCACUUUCUCUUCCCCUUUUACGCUUUCCUCCUUCACUUCCUCCCAUUUUCGAACAACCACCAUGCUAACCUUUCUAUACAUGCGACCAAUCAUAAACUACGUAUCACAAAACUUUAAAUUAGAUAAAAAAACUUUACCAAAGAAUAAGUAUAUGCUUAAUGCCAAUUUAAUUAUAGACCUAUAAUAUUUAUGGCUCCAACAUAACAGCAAUACUAGGGAUUUAAACUUUAAAAUAUAUAGUUUUGUGAUAGCUUCAACAUAAAGUACAUAGAAUUUUUAUCUUAGUCUUAAAUAUGCAGUUUUGUGAUAAAUUUAGUGCCAAAUCUAUAAGUUUAUGAUAGAACAUCUUAAAUAAUUAGUUUUGUAAAAUUUAGGAUCCGUUUGGUAGAGCUCCAACUCCUAAAUUUAACUAUAGAAGUUAAGUCUAAAGUGAAAUUGUAGAGCAGUCUAAACCCAGUUCUACCUCUCCAGUUCAUUUCGUAAGAGUGCUCUAGUCAGCUUCACUCCCAUCUUAGGUAGAGUUGAAACUGUUUGGCUGGGCUCCAAUGACUAGGCUUCAACUCCAGAAGAGGUGAACCUGUAGUUUGAGCCAUGUCAAACAUACCUUUAGUUUAAUACUCCGUACUCCAUUUUUUUUAUGUCAAACGGACUCAUCCUUGAAAUAAUGUCCCUUGGUAGGGUUCUCUCCGGAAAAGGGGGUUAAGCCCAUAAACGGAUCAUUCCGGGUCGCUGGCACAGUACACCCCUAUCUCACCCACCACCAUCCCAAGGCGGCGCGACGACCCAUCUCGCCGCCGCGAAUUCUCUCUCCGGCGAACUCCAACUCGAACCCUCCCUCCGCCGACUCCGCUCACGAGACCUAAACCCUCCUUCCCUCUCCUCUCGUCUCGUUCCCACCACCAUGCUGGGCAUCGCGAGGAGGCGCCUCGGAUCCGGAUGCGUACGGCUCCUCCUCCCCUCUCCUCUUCUCUCAUCCCGAUGAUUGUUUGUUUUUUUUUGUAAUCUCUUCUCGUUUUCGCGGUUUCUGAUUAUCUGGGGGUGGGGGAUGGAUUUCUGACGCUCGCCGUCCCGUUUCGAUCGUUGUGCAGGCGCUGGGGCAACUCAUGCAGGCGCUCCGACCGGCCGCCGCCGCCGCCGCGGCGAGGACCUACUCCGCCGCCGCCAAGGAGGUGAGCCGCUUCGAUGAACCCUUGCUUCUACCUCCGCUCCUGUAUCCUUGGGCCCGUUGCAGCGGCGAUGCCAUCGGAAAGCGAGCCGCGAGCGUCGACUCUCGUUGUUGUUUUUUUUUCUUCUUCUUUUCCUGUGGAAUUGGUUGGUACUAGCUUCCGGAGAUGCUUGCAUCUGUUCGUUGCAGGAGCGUAUUGUCAUGCGGAUUAACUGAUUUAGGCGCGUUGAUUGUGAAUUCGUGUCAUUGUGUGAUACCACCUAGCUUUGGUUUCUAGCGGGGUUCGUUUCUGGGGGAAUAUUCGGUCUGUCACGAGAAUCAGUUUGUUUUUCCCAUGAGGAUGCUGUCUCUAUGCGCCCCAAACUUCAUGUUCAUGCGUGAUUUUCAGCUCGAUAGGUUCAAUGCCUAUGCGUGGUUGGGUGAGCUGCUGUUUUCAUCACAUUUAGUUGCAGCUUUGUGGUGCUGAAAACUGUUACAUUUGCACGUAAGUACAUUAGCGUCCCUGCUCCUGUUGAAAAUGAAGGUGGCUUAUCAAUUUGAUGUCCGUUCUGUUGAAAAUGAAGGUAGCUUAUCAAUUUGAUGUCCGGCCUUGGGUUCAGUCUGUUAAGAUUAUAUAGUUUCACGCAGCAUACACACACACAAAAAAAAAGAGAAACUGUUUUAUAGCAUUUGACUUUUCUUUGGGGGAUGGAGACUUUUUUUCCUGCUCCUGAAAGUCUAAACAUAGUUUAAAAUAUACACGUGAUUCUUGAAUACAUAGACAUGACGUUCUCUUGAGUACAGUUCUCCGUUCUACAUACCGUGAGAUUUGACUUGCAACUUUUCUUGCUCAUCAGAUGACUGUGCGUGAAGCAUUGAAUUCUGCCCUUGAUGAGGAGAUGUCUGCUGACCCUUCUGUUUUCUUGAUGGGAGAAGAGGUUGGAGAAUACCAAGGGGCAUAUAAGGUGAGUAAUUUUUAUUAGACCAAUGCUGUCUUUGGCCCAUUAUCAUGACAUAAUUAAUUUCUGAAUACUAAAUAGUAAAGCUUCUCUUUCCUGCAACAUUUUGCAGAUAUCGAAGGGUUUGUUAGACAAAUAUGGCCCUGAUAGGGUUCUUGACACACCAAUCACAGAGGUGAUACUCUUAAACCUUCUGAGUGACCGCUGGUGUCCACUCAUAAGCAGCUAGAGUGACGCAGUCACAUUGAAGUACUGAUAUGUUUGCAUUCUGUUCAGGCUGGUUUUACUGGAAUUGGUGUUGGUGCUGCCUAUCAAGGUCUUCGCCCUGUGGUUGAGUUCAUGACAUUUAACUUCUCUAUGCAGGUCAAUCAUUCACUAUUCUCACUUAAAUUUAUAUGUUUGAUUUCAGAAUGUGCCUUUUCCUUUGUUUUUAAGCAGAUUAUUUGGUUCUGCACACUUAGAAAGGUUAAUUUUAGAGUAUACUAUACAGAAGAACCUGAUUUCUACAGCAUAAUUUUUCUUUUUUUGUGAGUACAAAAUUGGUUAAUGGCUAUCACUGAAAUUUUUUUAUGAUGAAAUGAACCAUUGAUAGUUAUAAAUACGGGUGAUAAAUAGAUAUGAUUAUAUGUCCGCUCGAGUAGCUUUUUGAUGAAAUUCUUCUCCACCUGCUACUCUGCCAGUACUUUGGAUUGUCUUUGUCUUGCACAUACCUUUAUGCAUAAGCAUUCACUUCCAUGCAUAUCUGGAUCUUUUAUACAAAUAUAUUUUCCCAUCUAUAUGAUGUAAAGAUUAAAAUAGUUUCUAUAACACCAUUUGCAUAUUCAGGCAAUUGAUCACAUCAUAAAUUCAGCUGCCAAGUCGAACUACAUGUCAGCUGGUCAGAUAAACGUUCCUAUUGUUUUUAGAGGGCCAAACGGUGCUGCUGCUGGUGUUGGUGCUCAGCACUCUCAGGUUUGUGACAGAAACUUGUUAAUGCCUAUCUGUUAUUCUAUUCUAUUAUUAUUGUUUGGACGGCAAAUAACCAAUAUUUGUGGUGUUUUGAACAUUUUGCAUUGUUUGUAAAUAGAGUAAAUUUCACAAAACUAUUAUUAUGCAUUCUAUUAUUCACAGUGAAGUUAAAAGUGAAGAAUGAGAUUAUUUGUUACAUGAGUUGUUUAUCCUGCUAUAAUUAUUUAUAAAAAUGCGUUGAACUAAGUACUUAGUGUGAUUGUGUAAGCUUUAGUUUAUUUCUUCUCUUUUCAUUCCUUAGCUUUGAUUCAAACUCCUCUUGUCAUUUAUUUUGGUGGAAUUAACUAAGUGCCUUGGUAUGCAGUGUUAUGCGGCUUGGUAUGCGCAUGUACCAGGAUUGAAGGUCCUAACUCCUUAUUCUGCAGAAGAUGCUCGGGGCUUGCUAAAAGCAGCAAUCAGGGAUCCAGACCCUGUUGUUUUCUUGGAAAAUGAACUGCUGUAUGCUAGCCUUUCCUUCCCAAUUAUAUUCUCUAAAUUUGAUUUGCCAUUUCACUGAAUAGUGUAUUUCUGCAGCUAUGGUGAAUCAUUCCCUGUUUCUGCGGAAGUUCUUGAUUCUAGCUUCUGUCUUCCGAUUGGGAAGGCUAAGGUAUGCUGUAUAGUUGUAUUGAUUUCGUAGUAGGAUGAGUUUUAUUUGGUCAGGUUUCGGUUUCUGGUUUGCCUGGAAGAGUUUAUUUCUGAUGGCUGCUUUCAUUUUUCUAUGUGUAGAUAGAGCAAGAAGGAAAAGAUGUUACAAUUACCGCAUUCUCCAAGAUGGUCGGAUAUGCUCUUCAGGUGUGUGGAUACCAGAUUUUCUUAAGCUGAAGAAUUAUGUCUAAUAACGGUGUCUCUAGUGACACUGGUUUCCAUCAGUAAUUCAGGUCUUAUACCUGUUGGUAAAGACCGGACCCUUUAUUUAUUCAUUCCAUUUUUUUCUACAAAAUAAAAAGGCUGGACAAUGUGCAUAGCAUCUAGGGAUGCAAGCAGGGUGGGCUUGUGGGCUUUGAGGCCCACUAAUCCACAGUUGCAGCUAUAUUUUUGCAUCCAUUUUUGUUCUAGUGGGUGGAAAAUGAAUUGCACGUGGGCUCUUAUGCGGCACAGCGGGCUGCCGGCUUGCACCCCUAAUAGAAUCACAUCUAUAUAUAGUAGUGAAUGCAAAAUGAUUUCAAAGCACCUCAUUGUCAACUUAGGCAAAAAAAAAAAAGACCAUCAGAUUGAGAGAAAAAAAAGACAAAACAUGGACAAUAAAUGUGAACUGUCUGACCAAGGAUGUUAGAGAGCCACAAAUGAAGGAGAAGGAUGGUAAGAGGAGAUACAACAAAUGAAUAGGUAGAUGAGGAAGAAGGCUCCAGGCUUCUUAGAGUCACUAGCUGAACACUGCAUUAUCAACAGUCAACAUUGUACCAAAUACCAGCCAUAAAUGGGCCUCUUGUUUGGGCUGGAAUUUGUAUGGGAGCUCUCAUUUACACAUGCCUUAUCUUGACAAAUGGGACAGUGGAAGGUUGGGACAAGUUGGUUUUAGUUGUUUCACUACAUAAACCAAAUAGGCACAUACAUUAGUGGUUCUAACAGCCUGGUCAAGGUUAUGCGAAUGCGCGACUCCACUAGUUAGUGGAAUUGAGAGUAUCUGUAAUAUGACCCGUUCCCUUUUUCAAUGCUUGCUUGAUUCUGAUGCAGACUUGGCAAACAUACACUUGGAUAUGCAUUAUUUUGAGAUAGUUCACUGUUUGUUUGUUUAAGUAGCAUUUCAUUUUUAAUACUAUAUGUACAAUAUAUGAUCGAUGGUUCUUGCCUGCGUAUGUUCUCAUGUUCAGUCAAAUUUCAGGCUGCAGAGAUACUUUCCAAGGAGGGAAUCAGUGCUGAGGUAGUUUCCUUUUGCAAAAUAUACUGUACAGUAUAGAUAUGCAACUAGACAUCUAUUUUUAACAACAUGCCAUCACUGUUUUCUUAUUACUAUAUAUCAAUAUCUUUUAUCAGGUGAUCAAUCUUCGGUCAAUUAGGCCAUUGGAUAGAGCUACUAUCAAUGCAUCAGUUAGGAAAACCAACAGAUUGGUAACCCUUGAAGAAGGAUUUCCACAACAUGGGGUUGGCGCUGAAAUAUGGUCCAUCUCUCUCUCUCUCUCUCGCUCUCCCUCUCCCUCGCUCUCUGUGACAAGUUGUUCUCAUAUGUACUGUAUCUUCUUUGCAGCAUGUCUGUUGUAGAGGACAGCUUUGAAUAUCUUGAUGCGCCAGUUGAGAGGAUUGCUGGAGCUGAUGUGCCCAUGCCCUACGCUGCCAACCUUGAGAGGAUGGCUGUUCCACAGGUACUUACGGCUGCUGCUUUGUUUGAACAAGAACUUUAGGAAUUCCAUCUCGUUAUGCCAAGUUCAGCAACUGUUGCUAUUCCACCAUAACGACCUAGCCGGCUACAGUAAUCAUCCUACCAUACAGAUUCCUUCAGUCAUAUCAAAACUUUAAAAAUAUAGUAGGAAUGUGAUCGAUUCAUUUAUUUUCUCCCCUUACUCAUGUUGGUGCCCCACAUUUGCAGGUUGAGGACAUUGUUCGUGCAGCGAAGCGAGCCUGCUACAGAGCAGUACCAAUGGCAGCAACAGCCUAAUUCAGUGACAGUUUUUGUUUCUCCAUCUUGUCUUCUUCCCAAUGGCCAGGAGUAUGUACCACAGCAUAAUGGUGUCUUCCCAAGUCUCAACUAGUGUAAGCUGAUUUUGUAGAUCCACCAUGAGGUGUCAAUCCCCUUCUUUCUUUAGUCGCAGUCGGAUGGCUGCAUCCGUUCAUAGUCCAAACUGAAUAUACACAUUUGAACCAUGCGACUUCUGGAGAUUUUACAUGACCGGUUGAUGUCAAUAACAUGUAUGUAAUGGAGCUCCAUAAGUCGGCAAACCAAACCCCCAUUAGAUUCAAUGUUUGUUCGUCCAUGCCUCUGAAUUGAAUGCACUGGACUCUACAAGUUCAUGGUCCUGUUAUCCAGAAAUGUUCGGAGUUUCUGACACAGGAAAGAUGGGUCUCAUGAUCUCAUCUCAUGUGCGGUGUGGCCAUCGGAUGGCCACGCCUCAUGUGCCAUCAUCGAGAGUCAUCAGUACCCAGUUUGUAAUCUGAAGGUGACACGUUUGGUCGACGGAGAGGCCCAGCCGUCGCCCGCGAAUACGUCCAGGUGCCCUGAAAGUGAGGCUACAGGUAAGACACAGACUGGGGCUUGCAAGAUUCUACUCCUACUCUAUCAGGUUAUGCAGAGAGAGUAACAGGUGGAGAGCUAGAGAGCUACACAUGUGUGCUGCAACUUGCAAAGCUGUGGGUCUCACUAAACUCUAAUGAUCAUGGACCAUGAUUCUCUCUGAAAACUACUGCCUGGUUUGAUGAAUGGGUCUCAAAAUUCUCUCUUAUUUGUACUAGAGCUUAUCUCCAUCUAGGAGUAGGAGUAGUGAUAUUAUUCUCAGCCCAUCUUUUGGUUGGUGGUGUUGUGGAUGAGGCAGCCCUUGGCCACCUGUACUGUACCUCUUCUAUCUCCUUUGUGAUAAUCACAUCCCUAAUCUCUUUUGACACUAUUUUGCAGGAGUGGACAGGCCUGUGCCAUGGGUCAAAUCAACUGCUGUCUGCAUUUGUGUCCUGACUUUACCUGGGAUAUCUUUUGUUAGGAGUACUCUUUUGUCUACUCCUAGGAAACUGAUUUUCUUUACCACGAAUAUGAUUCAAAACAUACGAGUUUUGUGCAAAUUAGAGCAAUAUAUAUUGUCCUAGUAAACACUGCUUUCUCUCCAAAGAAGAAAGAAAUUAAAAGAAAUGGUUUUCUUUUCUGGAAAAUCAUGGGCUGGAGAUGAAGUGACCAUCAGACCCAAUUAUUAUCACCCUUUAGAUUUGAUGAUGCAAAAGUAGAAGGUGUGCAUCUCAGCCGCACCGUCAGUGGGCCCACGCGCUUCAAUAUUCUCUCUCUUCUCUUACACACUUUGCAAAGAGACCCUUGGGAACUAAACAUUUUAUGUAGUGCUCACUGUUUUUAUCUGUUUACUACUUUAAUUUGGUGUCACAUCUCCAACCCCAUUAUGACUAGUGGAUUAUUAACAAAACAUGGCCAGGGGAUGCUGAAGUGCUUGAUGGAUCUUCUUGAUAUUUAUACACUGUAGGAUGAUGUUGAUUAUUCCUGAUCUUUUAUGAAAGACUGAUGGUGCUGGUGCAUAAUGUAUGCUUGUGAUUAAUGAUGCCUAUAAUGAAUCUAGAAUAAUUUAUUGAUGGAGAUAUCAGUGCUGGUAGCAGCAAUGAUGCUAACUAGGCGCAUAAACAAACUACGAAUACAAAAGAAAUUAAGGCCUUCUUUCAUGAAUGGGAGAAAAUUUUACUUGUGCUAAACUAAUUUGUGUAAAAUCUUAUGUUCAAGGAGCCCCAAGUAGUGAUAAUGAAAAAAAAAAGUACUUCUAAAAUUUCAAUGACAUAUCGGGCUAAUAAUUCAAUUAGUGGCAACCAACACGCCCAUCGAUAUUAAAACACAUGUGGUAACCUUUUUAAUCUUAAAAAAAAUGGUAACCUUUUUAAUCUUAAAAAAAUGUUCACCCAGUCUCUCAAUAGUGUUCACAAGUGUAAGAUGUGAAACGAGGGUAUGCAUGCGGCUAUAAACGUUAUGUUUAUGUUGUGUUUCCAAAAAAUGGCAUAGCUAGCUUUGUCAUAAAAGAUUUUAUUAAUAAAACUGUAGUCCAUAAAGUCUCCUUUAAAACAUACGAAUUUCAUGUCUCACUUGAUAACAUAAACCGUUCAAUGUUGAAAAGAAGGAGAAAAAUAUCCAGCACACUCUAAUUCUAUUUGUUCACAUGUUGUUAUAACGGAUCAUAUUGAUAGUUCAAAACUUAUUAUAAGUUGUAACAGCUUAUUAGUGAUAACAAAUAAUCUGUGUUUAAUUUUCUUAUAUGUUUUCCCAGCAACUUAAAAUCUAAUGAAAAAAGAAACUAAUUAAGUUGGAAAAUAUCUAUAAAAAAUCAACUUUAAUUUAGAGUCCUAAAAUCGAGAACCGAUGAGGGCUCAACCAGUAAAAAUACAUAAACUUGAGGGGUCUAUCGACAAAAAUCGCCUUGGGAAAACAAAGGCGUGGAUUUUUAUCAUCAUCAUCAUCAGUUUUAUAAUUAUCCGAAGCAACAACAAACCAAACCAACCGAAGAAGAAGAAGAAGAAGAAGAAAAUAAAGGCGAAACCAAAACCAGCCUAGCCUACCGGAUUGGAAUUUGGAAGCACCCAGAUGCUACUCCUAUAAGGCUAUAACCCAACGUUUUCCGCCCCCCAAGAGAGAGAGAAAAAUAUCCUCCUAAUCACGGAUUAGAGCCCUAAUCACGCCGCCCGCGUAAUUAAUUUUUUAGUCUUGGAAUUAUAUAAGCCAUUAGAGAGGGAAAGCGAGAUGGAGUAGCCAGGAAAGAGAAGAAGAAGCAAUUGGGGAGAAGCCAAGCCAAGGUUGGGGAAGGGAAGGGAAGGGAGAGGAGAGGGGCUCGCCGAUCGAUCCCUCUCCGCCUCCGCCGUCGAACCGCCGCGUCGAGUCGAGUCGAAUCGAAGGUAGGUAGGGGCAUCCAUUCCUCUCUCCCCUGUCCGGGGUUCGAUUGGUUUCUUGAGAGGAUGAUUCAACUGUUGGUUCACUUGCUUGGAGCGUUGGAUUCGAGCUCUUCUUGUUCGCUGAUCCAAUCCUAAUCUUUCUCUUUUUUUUUUACUCUUGGAUUGAUGUCUGAACUUGUGAAUUUCAGAUCGAGCCGCUCCUCCACAUCUCCCACUCGCGGUCGCCAUCCUCCAGCGUCGCCGCGCGCGGCUGCUCCGCUUCCCGACGCCGCUCGCCGCUCCUCCAGCUCAGCUCCCCCUCGCGCGCGUCUCCUUCUAUCUCUCUCUCCAGCGACCAGCGGUGGUGGCCGUCUCUAGCGCCGGCUGUCGUUAGGGGAGAAGCCGGGUACUCGUAGUAGGUUCUGGCGUGACGUUUUGAAGGUGAGAAAUCACAAACCAAAAAUUAAUUUGAGAUUGUAUUGUUCUUUUGCACUGAUUAAUUGCAUGAAACCCUAAUUAGGUAGAUUGUGGGUUUAUUGGUAUGUAUUGUGUUGUCCUGCAUGCAACACAUUGACACCAUGUGUUGGCACAGGCAGGCUCUGCCAUGGCGCUGGAGCGACCAGCUGCAUAUAAAGAUUCUGUAUUGAGAGCCCAAGGGUAGUUUGGUCACUCCAUGAAAGAAACUGAGGAGAAAAGAAAAUAAAAUAGAUAAAACUCUCCAAAGUGGCAAUCUAUCCUGAGAUCAACAUAUAGAGUGGCAUUUUAUCCUAUACAUCCUAGUGAGUGGCAUUUUGUUGAAACCAACGAUAUAGAGUGGCAUAUAUAUUGUCCUUUUUCUCGGCAGCAGCUUCACAAGUGGAUGCCUCCCAUUUCCUGAGCUAAAACGUAGAGUAGUACUCGUGAUCAUUAGCACAUCGGAUAAUUUUUUUUGAGCUUUUGUUUCAUCGGUGUAAUUAAGUGUUAAUUGUCCAUUGAUUGAUUUUGCUUGUGCAGGACUGUGAUGUGUGAUCCCCACUGGCAUGUUGCAUCCUAGGUUCCUGGUUGCUUGCUCAGGCUCCAAGUUGUGCUUCAUCUCCAGUUGCCGUGGUAGCUAUGGGGACAUGGCUAGGCGUGGCAGGAUGAUACCUUUCCGCCUCAUGGGCUCGAGCAGGCUGUACGAGUGUAGCUCCACCCUCCCGGUGUUGAUCGGUUUCAGUUGAUGAUUUCUUUGGAGACUGAAAGAAAGAUUCUUAGGGAGUUCAUCAGAAAGGAUUGGAUAAGUGCAUUGUAGUUGUAGGAGUGCUAGGAGCCCAAAUCGGUGACAUUUCUUUCAGCGUUUCGCUGAACAUAGUGUAGAUUUGCCUGCAAUGGGUUUGCCUCAGGUUAAUCCAGCCGAGGAAGCGCCUACGCCGUCAAGUAGGCCUGUGUCGAGCCCUCGUAGCUUCGAGGGUGUUGGCGCCUGUGAUUUGGAUGGGCUUCUUGGAGGAAGCUCAAGUAGCAGGGUAUUCGAAUACCCGUCAAUCGGUGAUUCUGAUCGGAAGACUGCAUUAGACAUCCCGAAUGGAUCAACUGAGUAUUCUAGAGACAGCCAUUGCUUUGAUAGACCUGCAGGUCUCCGAGGACUAAGAAUUGAUUCGAGGGAUGCAGAUUCUAGAUCUUCUCAUAAAUUGGAUCCUACUGUCCAUGUUCCCACAAUGAGGGUUGUGGGAUUUGAGUCGGGUUCUGUUGGAGGUUCUGCUAUAAUAGAAACUGAUAAUUGUCAUACUCCAUUCGAUCAGCAUGAACUUCAGGCAAGGAAAAGACUGCUCUCACCAUUGAAAAACGUUCUUAAUAGACAGUUCCACGGUGAUAUACUGAAUAUUUCCGCUGGUGAUGCUAGAUUUGAACUUUCUGAUUCAGCCAGGAAACUUAACAUUUCGUGCUUCCAAGAUAGUAAAAAAGCAAACACUGGUAUGCUCGAUUCUUUUGAGCCACAAGCCUGGACAAAUUCUAGAUGCUCCAAUGGUAGUCCAGAAUGGGAUGCCAAUAAGAUUAAUUCUAAUUUAUUCACUGAUGGUCCUUUACUUGGGAGCAAGGAGUCCUUAGCUUAUCUUGAUCAUCUAGCUGCUAGUGCAAAAUUAGCACAUUCUCCACUCUCCUUGUCCCCGCUUAGCCCUAAAUUUAUGAACAGAACUAAGGCUACAGGAGCUCAAUGCCGUACAAUGAGAGAUAUUGAACAUCAUUUUCUAGAUUCAAGGGAAAAAGGGGGACCCGAUGGAAUUAGAAUGCUGAGUGUGCUAGAAGAAACUAACAUAUUACAUGAUGAAUACAAUGUCAUGACCCCUAAAAGAAGUUCAUGCAGAAGAUAUCAAAUCUGGGGUCCUGAAUCCACCCCUACUUCUCCCCGGGUUGGUUAUGGUCGGAGUUUGAGUCUCCCAGUACGACGGUCACUAGUUGGCUCCUUUGAGGAGUCCCUUCUAUCUGGCCGGCUUUCUUAUGGAAAAGACAAUCAGGUCUCUUAUUCCCUUUCACCAGAUAUUAGUAUGUAUUAGUAGAAUGCAAGGCUAUUGACUAUUGGUUUAAUUCAAUGUUCAUUUCGAAUGCAGAUAAUUGAUGGAUUCUUAGCUGUUCUAAAUAUUACUGGUGGAAACUUCUCUCCUCCAACUCAGAAGCUGCCGUUCGCAGUAACAAGCAUUGACGAGGAUAGCUCCUUAUUGUACUAUUCUUCUAUUGAUCUUGCUGGGAGGUCGUCAGCAACUAACUGUAGAAGCCCAAAACUCGAAAGAAGCUUAAGCAAUAAUGAUUCACGAUCAGCCAAAAGUCGCUUACGGAUCCCUGUUAAGGGCAGGAUACAGCUGGUACUAUAUUUUAUCCUUAUUAAAAGUGAAAGGUGUUCUUGACUUAUUGUUUCGGGUGAAAUGCUGUUUGAUAUUUUUAGCUGCUAGUGAAUUGUUUUUUUCUUAGUUGUAGUUGAUAAUAAUGCAAAGGUCUUACGGGAAAUUUCAUUCGACAAACUCUAAUACUGUCUCAUAAAAUUUUGCUGCCAAUACUUCUCAAUGUUAAAGCAUAAACGGCAGUUAGAUCACUGGUUGUUUCAUCAUUUGUCAAUAAUCCUGUAGUACCUGAUCUUUUCACUUGAUUAUAGCUCAAUAUUUAUCUGUAAUGCUUAUAUUAUGUGUUUAGUUUGAAUUGUUUCACAUAUUUGGACACACCAACCGUAAUUCACUGGUUGUUUCAUCAUUUGUCAAUAAUCCUGUAGUACCUGAUCUUUUCAGUUGAUUAUAACUCAAUAUUUCUCUGUAAUGCUUAUAUUAUGUGUUAACUUGAAUUGUUUCACAUAUUUAGACACACCAACCGUCAUUUAUUUGGAUAAUAUCCUCUUCUAUUGAUGCCACUUAAGUAGUGCUUCGUAGCAUGAAAAACUUAACCUGAACAGUGUACAGAAAUAAUACCAAGCUGUUUAUCAAGUGUCAUUGUUUUUAAGUUUCUGCAGUUGUUUUAGUGUGCUGUACAUAACACCUAUCUGUGUGCAGUUCUGCUCUUGUUUUUGAAGUAACUAUACAUUUAUAAACAUGCUAUUUACUCAAGUAAUAACAUCAAUAGGUCGUGAGCAACCCUGAGAAGACUCCACUUCAUACUUUCUUCUGCAGCUAUGACUUGACAGACAUGCCUUCAGGGACCAAGGUACAAGACAUUAUGACUAAUUUCAGUUUUAAAAAUAAAUUGUGACUAAUAGACUUUUUCUUUGGCUCAAAUUCGAAAUAGCCUUGAAGCUUACUUGUCAUAUGAUUGCCUUAUUUCUUGUUGACUUGGUGGCAACAUAUGUAUUUGCUUUGGGUUAUUGUUUUGGUCAGCUGAGCCAAUAUUAAACAAAGUCGAAUACAUGGUUGCUUGCAAGCUUUGAUCUUUUCCUAUAAGCUUAGUCAAAGGUUAUCACACACAUAAUGGGUCAGAAUGUAAUAUUACAUUAUUAAUCAUUCACAAUGACAGAGAACAAGUGUUUUGAAGCUUGCAGUUUUGGUUUCUCCAUCUCCAUCCCCAAUUCUCAUCUUAUUUCUCUUGUUGUAAUGGGACAGACUUUCAUGCGGCAAAAGGUCACUCUGUCCCCCACUCUUUCCUCCUCUAAUCCAAUGAAAGAAGGAAGUAAUGCCGGUGACAUUAAUAUUGGCCCCAAGGCUGAGUCUGUCUCAUGUGGAGAAGUUACAGAACGGGAAAGUUCAGAAUGUAAUGGUGCUGAUAGCCCGAUACGACUAGUAGCUCAGUCCAAACUACUUAUCUCGAGUCAACUGAUAGAUUAUUUUGUCUUUGCAGGCUCAUCUGAUGGAUCAGAGGAGAAAGACGCAAAUGCAAAACGUUGUUCGUUGGACAGUAACAUGAUGGAAUCAAAUAAACAUAACUCUCCUGUGAAUAAGAAAAAUAACACCGAUUCUGAUGAUUGUUGCUGUCAGAUGGACAAUUUAGGUGGCAAGAAUUAUUGCUGUGCAUCUUCUAGGAUUAAUGAUAGCUCGGGUGGAGGUGUGAUUCGCUAUGCUCUGCACCUGCGCUUUCUAUGCCCUUCCUCCAAGAAAUCCUCAAAAUCGAUGCUACGAUGCAAAUCCGAUCCAUCAUCGGUGCCAUAUGAUAGUAAUGCCGCGAAAGAGGACGAUCGCAGAUUCUACCUUUAUAAUGAUCUUAGAGUUGUAUUUCCUCAAAGGCACUCAGAUGCAGAUGAAGGCGAGGUAUGCACCCAUUCCAAUAUUGUGAACAUCAUCUACCAGUACAGCUUUCUUCUGGUUUCUUUCUUGGAUAAUCAGUUUCUCACUUUACAUAUAUAGAAAUGUAUUUGGUUUAGCAUAAUGUCUUACUUUGGGCUACUCCCAACUUAUUUCAGCAGCCGGUUCCUGACAAUUAACUGAGUUUAUAAUGCAAUAUAUCAUCUCUAUCUGGCUUGAUUGCAACUCUUGUUUCUUGAUCUGUUACUACAUUUUAUCCUAAAGAGUUUUGAUGUGUUGGUUUUCACUUUUGUUUCAGCUGCGUGUGGAACAUGACUUCCCUGCUGAUCCCAAGUACUUCGACAUAAGCAAUUGACACCUCUGCUUCUCCUCCUUGUGCAUGCAGCUAAGCUCUCAUGUCAUUUGUGUACAUAGCAUGCGCUUUCUUGCGCACAAAAAAAAAAUGUAAAUAUCUUUUUAAUCCUUCUUAACUUGUCAUCACUCAUCAGCCCCCGAUGUAUUUAUCAGUCGCAACCAACUGUACAGUUUCAGUCUUCAAAUAAAAUGCAACUUUUAGUUCCCAGUUUGUGCUGUGCGUUACUGAACCUGAACAAUUCAGGUUUGUGGUUGCAUAUGGAUCCCAAUGGACGCGUCGUCAUGCCAAUUGGGCCGGCCUGGCUGUGCUGGGCCCACGCAGCUGCAGCUAGCUAUUUGGGCUGCUCGCGCGGGGGGUCGUUUGGUCUACGCGGCCCAGUCGAACGCAAGACGUACAUGGAGCAGAGGGGAAAGUUUUGAUCCCUCGACAGGAUGUCUCUUCAUUUGCUUAAAAAUCAUUUGACAAGUUUUGAAAAUUUUUUGACAAAAGUCUUAGGUCCAAACUCAACACACAUGUUGAGAUAUAGAAAAAAGAUAAAUUCAGCGUAUAAAUAUUAACGUACUGAUCACAUCUGAAUUUGUCUUUUCUGUUUUACAAUGAUUCGGUCGAAUUUGAACUUGAUUUUUGUUGUACAGAUAAAUAUCAUAAUACUCAACAUUGUCAUUUGUUUUCAUAAUUUUCAUAACUAUUUGGAUCGAAUUAGAAGAAAAAGAUAUAAAAGGGAUAUGAGAAAUUAUAAUCCACUCCAGGAGCAGAGUCCAUUGGAGAAUCGAUCGGUUUGUUGCACACUUAUUUUCUUUUUGUGUAUCUUAGCUUAUCUUAUCUUCUCGAAUUCCUAGCGUAAGCUCGUGUAUGUAUGUAGUUUUGCACGAUUAAGAUACUUAGCUAGAGUAUUGGUAAGCUAAGAUUCGUAAUGACAUCUACUUAUAAUAAAUUUAGAAGAAGCGAAACAUUAUUUACUUUUUCAGUUGUUGAUUGACGAGGACGUACGGACGUUGAUCGAUCGACGAGGAUGGUGGAGCUCGAAUCGCAGGAGGCGGUGACGGUCGCCUCCACCGCCGACAUCGCCGUCGACGUCUCGCUCCGGCUUCUCGCCGCCGCCACGUCGCUCGCCGCCGCCGUCGUCGUCGCCGCCAACCACCAGCAGCGCUGGGGCAUCCGCGUCGACUUCACCCUCUUCCAAGUCUGGAUGUACGACGAUCUAUCUAAUCUCGCCGCCGGCCGCCGGCGUUUUGAUCUCUGACAUUGUCAGUGUUAAUUGAUUUGCAGUGGCUUCGUGGCGGUGAACCUGGUGUGCACGGUGUACGCGGCGGCGACGGCGGCGGCGGCGGCGAGGAAGGCGAUGGGGCGGUGGUGGCUGCACCACGCGGACGCGGUGGUGGUGAACCUGGAGGCGGCGGCGACGGCGGGCGCCGGCGCGAUCGGGUCGAUCGCCAUGUGGGGGAACGAGGCCAGCGGCUGGUACGCCGUCUGCCGGUUGUACCGGAGGUACUGCAACGCCGGCGCCGCCGCGCUCGCCCUCUCCCUCGCCGCCGUCCUCCUCCUCGGCGUCGCCUGCGCCCGCUCUCGCUACCCCAAGAUGCCGCCCACCACCUAGCUUAAUUACUCCAUGCUUAAUUUGCUCCAUACAUGUUAUUGUUUUUACAUGUAUAUAUAUAGUUACAGCUUAGAACAUUAUGCAUUUUUUUACGUUUUUUUCUCUAACUACUACUCCCUCUAUUUCAUACCAUAAGUUGUUCGGCUUGUUUUCUAAUCAAAAUUCUUUAAGUUUGACCAAGUUUAACGACAACUUUUUUUCUUUAAGUUUGGUCAAACUUAACAAAUUUUAACUAGUAAAAAAGUCAAACGAUUUAUAUAAUAAAACAAAGAGAGUAAUUGGUUCCGUUCUAGUGAAAUAAAUCAACCUGGCACUGGAUGAUGUGACGCUAUCUCCAGAUUCAUUGGUUUAUUUUGACACGGAUAGAGUAAUUUAUUGCCGGUAGAGAUUUAUGCAUGGAUAUGUAUAUCAGAAUCAUAAUCAGACUGAAACAUAUUUCAGUAUGAUCUCGUGCAUAUAUAUAAUUAAUGUGGCUAUUUGUGCAUAUUUACGUAUAUAUAAAAUGCCAUAUAUUUCUACGAGGAGAUGAGAAAAAAAAUCUAAGGUCUAUUACAGUAUGUAGUGUAGAUUUGUAGUAGGGGUACUUAAUUAUCAAGAUCGACUCUUGGACGCAAAAAUUUUAGCUGAACAAUACAUGCAGCAGCAGACAGACUUAAGCAGAGCGUGCAUAGGUUGUAACAACAUACGCAACAUAUUUCAGACUUAGCUCUCAGCAUAUAUAUGGCCACAUCGAUCUCUGCAACGUCAAAAAGCCAGGCUACGUACAUUGCAGCUAGCUAUCAGGGAUUGCAGGGAUGAGAUCACCCGCCAUUGCUGACAUCAUCAGGUGCUCCGUUCGACUUCACAAACCGGCCUUUCACCCUCUUCCUCGUGUCCGCUCUCAGCUUCCUCGACUCGUACCUGAUGUGCUUCUCAUACCUGCACCAAGAACAUCAGUGACAGUCAGAACAAGAUUCAGGCAUUCCUGUAACUGUAAACAACAAUGGUGAGUUGAGUUCAGGGUAGUAAGGUUAGUUCAUCCAUGCCUGCGGUUCUUCUUCUUCUCCCUGUACCGCUGCAUCGCGCUGUCCCUGUUCUGCGCGAGCGUCUCGCUGUCGAUCUUGAUGGUACAUGGCCUCUGAUCGGCUCCGGUAGGGACGACGGUCUGAUCACAGAAGGAAAUCUCCUUGGGGAGAGCCGAUCCUCUGUCGUUCGAAGAGCCCCCCAAUGCCCCUGAAGCAGCAGGUACAUGGCUUGUGGAAGUUGUCGGUCCAUCGAUCGUCGAAGCGCAUGAGCUCGCCUUCCGUUUGUUGCUCCUGGUGCUUGGCUGCAAGGAAAGUUCAAGCAGAGAACAUGAGUAACUGAACUGAAGAUACUCCUCUGGUCCUAUAUACUACCAUCACAAAUGCAGAAUUUUACAGGGUAGCAAACAGACAGCAAUUUUUUUUAGGAUAGCCCCAGAUAGUGGUUUGGUACUUCCUACAAUGACACUUACCCUACAAUGACACCAACCAAGAAAAACGUGGUGGGGCUUUCUAUGAUACAACAAAAUUGGCCUUUCAAUGUUUCGCAACGAAACAAGAUGCGUCCAUGACUUGGUGGACCAAAGGAGGAGGAAACAAGGAUCUGUACGGUGGUCCAUAAAUAUCGCGGUGAUUGAAACAAGCUAAAAGUGUUCACACCAUAUGGGACCAUGGUGCCAACUUAUACAAGAAUAGCCCCCCUUUAAAAAGAUAAGAUCGAAUUAGGAACAUAACACUGGAGCCAUUGCAGAAGUUAGUGGCGCAUCAACAUCAGCGAAAGCUCUGCCAUGGGGUCAACUGGGAAGUUAACAGGUAACAACUAAAAGAGUGUCCAUGCCACACACAGAUGGAGUACCAAAUGUCCACGUGAGCAUGCACAUUUUAAGAAGGAAAAGGCAAAAAGUUCCUUUUCAGAAAGUCCAUCAGCUUCUUCAAGCAAACCUGUUGUUAGUGAUUUGCUUAAAUCGAUACCUUGGGCUUUGUCAUAGAUUAUUAGUAUGAAGUGUAAGGCUUGGUAACAAAUAAGAGGAUCCUAUACAGAUAGAUAAGGUGUUCUAACACUACUUUUAUCCUUGCUGUUGGAAGUUACAGUGCUAAUCAAAAGAUACCAAAAUUGCAAGAAUUAUGAGAUUCAUCAGAUGCAUGGAUUGAUGCCACUUCUUCUCUAGCACAAGGCAGUAUGAGAAUACCUUGCUUGGCACCACUAAGCUAGGUGAAUUGUGUGCUAGGUGCGCUGGAUAAGCACAGUCAGCAAGCAUAUUUUACGUUGGAAAAAAGGGGAUUAUGGCUUACAUUUUUCGAUGACAGCUGACAGACAUUAGUCGACAUGAUAUCUUCGGCAGCUGCAAAAUAUCUUGAGUCAUAAAUAUCUUCCAGAUCCUUCGUUGUCCCAGAAGAAAUCUCCUUGAGCAUGUCAUUAUAACUCUUAAUCAUAAAGCCUCCAUUGUUUGAGCCAAAUCCAACUUCAAGUGCAGAGUUCUCAUUGUGAUCCCUUGAUUUUCCCAAAUUAAAAUCCCAUAUCUGUCACGCCGAUAACAAGAAGAGAACCGUAAGUUUUAGGCCAUGAAAUGAAGCUCAUUCCAGGGUAAACUAGAAGAAGCAUUGAAAUAUUUAGGAGAUGGAUUAGCAAGGGUGAUUAGUUGAAAAACAUUCUUUCCUUUGAUGACAGUUCUACUAGUAUAUAUAUGCCUACGGAAAGUUAAUUAUUUGCUUGAUUAAAGCUAGACAGUCUGUAGCCAAAAGUCAGGUAAAGCUCAUUGCAUCAACACACCAUGAUUCAAGAGCCUAUUUGCACACCCCAGGUCAUAGGAUCUAUCUCAUAUCUGAAGGGGCAAAUACUCUGAAGAAUGCAGUACAGCAGUAGUAUGAAAUAUCUACAUACAAUGCACUUUCCAUAUUGUGAUAGCAACAUCUCCUCAGAAAGUUCUGUCUAACUUGCAUUAUUGAAAAGGAAAAAACACCCAUCCUCAUCAGCCCAAUUUGCACAUUCAAUGCCCCUAAAACAAUGCUACCCAGUCCAUGAUACUUUACUUUUUUGCAGUAAGAGUCCAUGAAAGUUUAUUGUGCCUGCAAGCAAUCUCUGAAAGAACCGGUUCAUAAAUCGUGCAUGAUGGCAACAAGGAUAAAUUUAUGUCUACUCAAAGUAAUAGAAUCAUUCUGUUAUGUGGUUGAAAAAAAACUAGGAAAUAGAACUAGACAGGACACGAAAACCACAUGAAAAACCAGUAUCAUGUACAAAAGCACAGAGAUGUAAAAUUUCAAUAACUCGCACCUAUAGUGUUCAUCACAAAACCACAGUGGUAGUUCUCUUGAAAGGUUCAAACAUCCAAUUCUUUUACCCAUCCCCUCAUCCACAAGAGAUUAGAGAUCAUAACCGCAUCUCUCAAUCUGAAUGAUCUGCACAACUGAGCACGAACUACACAAGUGAUGGGUCCAACACCACCAUUCGUACAGUUUGUUCUAUUGCUAGAUGUGAACCAAUAAGAUCCUAACACCACGUGAUCUUAAUGAGUGUGAAGCUACAAAUAAUUCGACUAAUUAAGCAAUGCAACUAACAUUGCUCACACUAAUCAAACAUUGAACAGGCCAGAAAUGCAACAAUUAACCAUUACCCCAAAAACAAAAAUCAAACAUUGAAUAUACAGCGAAGAUGCAAUCGUAAUUCAGAAGAUGUGUGCUUAUUCAAAAGAAAUUCUGCUUCUUUUUACCUGGGUUGGUGGCACUGAUGGCGCGGUGCUCUCCCACAGAACAUUUUCAUCUUCGUCUCCAACACGGUUGUUUUCCAUGAGCUCGGUGCAGUUGGCCGGCGCCAUCAUGAGCAGUGAAGUGUACGGCAGCGGCGCCGCCGUCGCAGCAGCAUGAGGCAACGGCGGGGGAGCUUGCUUUUCCUGCAGGCGGCCGCUCGCCGCGGCGGAGGUCCGGCGAGGCGUGCGGGGGCUCAGAUCCGAGUGCGGCUGCGUGUGCGGGUGCGCCGUCUCGGCCUCCCGGCGCGCCAUCUCGGCGAGCUGGUGGCCGAGCGCCUCCCCCUUGAGUCGCCGCCCGCCGCCGGCCACCACCACCUCGGGCGGGUCGCAUGGCACGUAGAGGUCGCGCAGCACGGGGUCGACGGCGAGCAUGGAGUAGUCGAGCGCCGAGAAGAACGCGUCGUCGGCCUCCUCCUCCUCGCCGCCGCAGCCGCCGGGGAGGUCGAGCCCCCACGACGCGGCGAGCUCGGCGGCGGCGGGGCACCCGGAGAACCCCUCGACGGGCACCCGCAAGGCCGCGCCGUCGUCGCCGCCGCACCCGGUGUCGCAGUCCGCGCACAGGAACGCCGGCGCCGAGGCGGAGGCGACGCGCGCGGCGGCCGGCCUGGCGGCGCAGGCGGCGCAGAGCGGGGCGCGGACGUGCUUCCGCGAGAGCGCGUUGGCGGCGUGCACGUGGCGGUCGCAGGCGACGCACAGCCUCGCGGCGUCCGCCCUGCAGUGCAGCGCCGCCGCCGCCUCCCCGCAGUAGUCGCAAGGCCACUGCUGCUGCUGCCCCCUCCCUCCUCCUCCACCACCAUCCUUCAUCUCGCAAACCGAAUCAAACCAAACCAAAUCGAAGCGCGAGGAGGAGGAGGAAGGAGGCGGGGGUCUACGACGACUUUUGAGCUCGGAAGCAAUGCAAUGCAGGAAUGAGGAGGAGGGAGAAGGCAGCGAGGUGGUGGAGAAGAGAAGACGGCGAGAAUGAGAUGAGAUCCGGUGCGGAGCGCGCGAACACGGGACACGGAUUCGGACUCGUUCCCGCGCGUCGAGGUGGAGGGAGGGUGGGGCCCGCUUGUCAGUGGGCCAGGGGUGUCGGGAAAUAUCUCUCCGGCUUUAGCUGAGCUGGUGGGGGUGACGUGGUCGGGCCCACCAGAAUGCGGCGCUAAUUGAUUUUUCGGAUGAAUUUUAUCAUAAUUCUGGACUUGAAAACAUUUUUCGUUUAGAGGCUGUUACAAAACGGGAUGCCGUUGUAACAGGAUAGACAUAUUAACUAUUUUCUUGUAUGAGUAUCACAUGUAUCAGGUCUUAGGUAUCACAGAUAUAAGGGUGUCCCGUUCCAACAGGAUACCGUUGUUUAGGUUUUCUGUUUCGUUUAAGGAUAGAAUUAGGAACAUGUCCUCGUAUAUAAUAUGCUUAACAAAAGUCGAUAGAUGACUGUUGGACUUUAUAAGGAACGAGGGCAUAUUUUUGUAAUGAAUUUCAAAACGUUUAAGAAUCAGUAUCCUUCCCAACAUUUUGAUUGAUUGCAUGUUUCGUUAUAUUAUGUUUUAUUUUUUGACUUUUAAAUUAUCCCUAUAAUAAGGAUCUUUUUUUACUUGCUAUAUAUAUUGGCACAUAUGGGUGCGAUAUUUUUUACCGGAAUAAAAAUUUUCAAAAAAUACCGAAACAUUUUUUGGACAUAUUGGAGUGUAUUGGGUGCGUCCGUGUCGAAAAAUCACCCCGUAACUCGCGUGACGAACUUUUAUCAAUUAAUACUAAUAUUAUCAUAUGUAUACAUUUGGAAUGUAAAAAAUAGAAAACCUUUUCAAAUGUCACCAGAAGUAAAGCUACUACUCUUCCUGUAAAAUUCUAAUAAAAUUCCCAUGCACCAAUUAAUUAAUUAGACUACCUUAAUUAUGGCAUUUACUCUAAUAUGAAGUAAUAAAAUACAUAUAAUGAUACCACGAGUUUGUGAUUAAGAUAUACUCCUCCGUUUUCAGCAUGUAAGAUUACUUGGUUUAUUCAAAAUUAAAUUUCUUUAAGUUUCAUCAAGUUUAAGGAGCAACAUUUUUACACCAAACAAAUAUAUAAUGAAAAUAUAUUCAAUGGUGGAUUUCAUAAAAUUAAUUUGGUAUAAUAGGUAUACUGUUUUUUUCAUACACUUGGUUAAACUUGAAGAAAUUCGAUUUAUAUCAAAACCGAAGCAUGAAAAAACAGAUGGAAUAUAGGAGCAGAAACAAGGUGAGAUUGAUCGAUAAGAGAUGCCAUCAUUAUACUAGUACAAAAUUGUCAAUGCCGUGUGAAUUGGAUUGCAGGAGUUGCUACAAGAUGUAAUUGGUCAUUUGUCAUGGUUCAACGUCCUAACAUAAAAGUUAUAAAGUGAUAGAUUAGUACGACAUAGAAAAAAAAAUAUCUCCAAAAGAUAGAGAUGGCCCUAGGAAUAGCUAGCCGCACGUGCUCCCGUAGAAAGCAAGUGAUCUACAGUAAGCACAAUUAAUUUGCACGAUAAACGUAGCUACCUAAAUUACCUACGAGUUGACCUCAAUGAUAAUCCUAAGAGACAUACUAAAUUUUUUUCAUAGUAAAGUUAAUUUUGGAUGCUGGAAAUUAAUAUUGAUAAUGGAAUUAUGGCAAUACUCUACUUGAUAUCAAAGGACUGCAGAAUUUAUUUUCCGGUCUUUAGAAUCAAGUUAAAUUACUUCGACUUAGGGGAUAAUCUCUCAUACAUAUGGCACUGAACUAAAAUUCUCUCCCAUCCCAAUUGAUUAAGCAUGCCAUUCUUUUUUCUUCUGUACAUUGGCUAGCUUUCGAUUAAUCACAACGUGCCUUCACAAAUCAGGCACUUUUGCUAGAUCACAAUCACACAAACCUUGGUCAUCAUCUAGAUUAUUGCAAAAAAUACCAGAUCAUGAUGCGUAGUACAUAUGCAAUAUAAUGCCGACAUGCAGCUUAUGGGUCACGAUGGUGACACUAUCGGUCGGUGUCGACAUUGUCAAUAUCGUCCUACUGGCUACGGGAGCUUCGUCCUAGUACUAAUUAUACACUCAUGAUCAUUAUCGGGGCGAGUUAAGUCUCAACAAGAUAGACCUAAUGUCAAAAUUUCUUUUUACUCUAUUAUAUAUAUCAGAAAUAAGACAGUUUAGUAUGUCGUAAAUAAAGCCAUCUAAAUUCAUGUCGCUGCCACGUACCCAUUAGACGUGUACUUCAUCCGUCCCAAAUCAAAUUAACUUUAUUUUAAAAAGGAGGGAGUAAGCUAGAAGUAUAACCACACCAUCUAUUCAUGUAUAGUAGCUAUUUGGUUGUUGGUCUAUUUGGUUAAGCAGGAAUGGAGUAAAUUUUGAUAACAAGAUGAUAUCUUCUUCUUUUCAAGUUACUCAAUGAUUACAUACCUGGACUAUCCUUCACAAAUCGGAGAGAAACACCAGGAGUCUUCUAGCUAGCUCCACAAGGUGGUGGGCUAGCCGGUCUGGGUUCAAAGCCUCACCCAUUCUAAUUAUUUGAUGUUAGGUCAUUUUUUAAUAUUCGCGUUUUCUUCACAAAUCAGGAUUACAUGAUACUAUUGCGGUGGUAUCACGACAGCUGGACUAGGUGGCACUGCCCCUUAAUUUGUUUGACAUACACUCCGUUGGGAAGAUAUCUUAUGGGUACCACCAUGCAAGAAAUGUUAGGUACACUAGAUAUAAAAUUAAACCAUCUAAUAAGUCAAAUAAUUAUUUUAUGAAAAACAGCAUAAUUUCUCACCUAAAAUUUGAUGAAAUACCAUGCAGUGGUAACUUGAUGAAAUUCUCCUAUAAAAGAAAGGUUCGAAUAGUUGUGACAGGUGGGUCCUUCAACAUGUGAAACGAACCAAAUUUGCACUAAAAUUAUAUAUUUCGAGUAAAUUUCAGAGGCACCAAUCAUCCUCCUAGAAGAGAAAUUUUAGUAGUUCUGAAUCAACCACAACCAAAUUGAAUGCACAUAUGUUUUUCCUAGUACCCUAUGGUACUACUCAUGUAGCCAUUGUACUUUGAUACAUACAUGGAGAAUGCAUGCAUUUUUUAGAAGUGCAAAUUUUGAUAAUUUUCUCUUUUUUUUUUUCAAACUCACAAUUAAUUUUUGUUGACCAAACUCACAAUUAAUUCAAUCGUGCUUGCAUGUCAGAUUGGGAAGAGGUAUAUAUAGUUGUCCCAAAGAUGCCAUUUGCAGCAAGAGCUAAGAGGUAUGGCACUAGAUCUCUCAUUAUUGCACAAGGCAUGUCCAAGAUCUAGGAAUUGAUUUGAUGGUCCCUUCAAAGUCUUCCCUCUCUCAAAUGGAAACUUUUCAUGCAUUAAGUUAAAAGUGGCUUGUUUUCUUGUCAUAAUCCAUAAUCCUCUAUCCCCUGGAAGAUUUUGUACCAAAUGCAUGUGCUUUGACUUGUAAGCUAGAUAUAUAUGUGUGUUGUUGUGGUUUAUGGACCACCUUAAUUAAUUAACUUCUGGUCCAAUGUGUCAUUCUUGAGAAAAGUUGCCCUUUCAGUUAGAAGUUUCCACUGUGUGAAGCUCAAAGUCAGCAAUUUUCCGGUCCAAUGUGAGGUACAACUUCAAAGUACAUUCUUUAUUAUGAAUUCUAAAGUCUAAAAAUGUGACCUCAAAGUUAUUCAUACAUAAUUAAACUCUGAUUCCAAGUAGUUUGCACUUUGCACUAGACCAAAUGUCUAAAACAGCAUGUACAUCAGCACCAGAGUAAAAAAAAAUAAAUCUGUAUAGCUUUUUUAAUAUUAGUAGUAGCUAGCACAUUACAAUUAGAGAAGUAGUAUAUAGUACUAUACAAUAAUGUUAGGCAUAACAUUAAUGUUUGACCCCUCUCUUGGAAAUUGUGCAAAUAAUCAGGAAACAAAUAUUCAAAAGUAAAUUUGAUGACACGUACGAUAGGGGAAAUUAAACAAGUUGCACUGAAAAGUAAAUCCAAGAGUCCCCACAAAAGAAAAGUAAAUUCAAAAAGGGAAUGAUUAGAAUUGUCUGUGGCUUUUCUACGUUGAUUUUUUGUCGGAUGUUCGAUGCUUUGAUUUUUUUUGCACAACUAUUAAUUCCAGGCCAACAGCACAGAAAGAAGUGAUAGCACUUGACAUUCACCAAAUGAACAAAAUUAUGCACUUGAUAUUCCAAUAGGAUUAUUAAUACACUGAUUCCAUUCAUGUUGAUGUCCAAACUGAAAUGUAUUUGUAACCUUGGGUUGAAUUGCAACACCAUAUCCAAUGCUUUGGAGACUUUAAGUGGAUUUCAUAAAUAAACUAUCCUUACCCUUUGGAAGCAUAUGUACUCGAUCGUGCCAGUCCAUAAUUAAACAUAAUCUCUUUGUUUAUUUCCUAUUACACUAGAAAAAUAGCCUAUUGAUAUACAAGUAGUGCAUACAAAUCCCCUUAAAAGGUGACACUAUAACCAUUCCAUAUUAUUAUAUCAUCUGUACUAACACUGCUUUUGAAAAAGCCAUGCAUCUUCAAAGCACAAAUGCUGCUCACCCAAAGUGUGUAUUAUAAUAAAAAUAAUAAUAGUCAUUGCAGUUGGCCCCCAUCACCAUGAUAUAUACUGCACAGAAAGCGAACAUAUCAAAAAAACCAUAUAGAAAUAGAAUUUGAGUGUGGUGGUACAUGCUAAUUGAGCAUGAGACAUACAAUAAUAAAUUUAUCUCUUAAAAAAAAGUAACUCCAGCAUCCUGUUAUAUUUUAAAAACCUUAUACUAAAAAAAUACAGUACGUGUAGUGUUGCAACUUUUCGAAUUGAGGUCAGCAGUGACGCCAUUGCGGCUACACGUGAAUUUGAAAUAAUUUAAUCGAACAAAUUCCGGCCAAAUCUUUUGGCGAGCAAAGCAAACCGUGGGCCGCCACGUACUCCUGCUGCUUGCUUUGAUUUAGCUGGAUUUAGCAAGCUGGGAUUUAAAUUAAGCAUGGUUGGGCCAGUGGAGUGCCAUGAUUAGAGUGUUUUAUAAUCCCGUACAUCUAGCUGCUUCUUCAGUUCUUCUUCUUUUAGUAGCACUUGUGACAGAAGUAUUAAACUAAUCCUGCUUGAUUAAUUAGUUGAAGAUGCCGUGACAGUUGGGAGAGGAGUCCAGAAGCGUCUAUUUUUGGUGUACGGAUUCCUGUUUCUAAUUAAUUAAUCGGUUUCCGGAUCUUAUCUUGCCAUAAAUAAAUUAAAAAAUGUUGUCUUGUCACAUUCAGCCUACAGUGUGAUUUGUGAAGUGGCAGGUCAAGCAAGCAAAUCUUCAGACUUCAGAGUAUACAGAGAAUUUUAGAAGUUCAGAGACUUCAGAAUUCAUCAUCAGGUGCACAUGUCUUGGGUUGGGCCUAGCUGUGAUGGGCUUUGCAAUGGAAGCCCAUAACUAUUACAAGUGAGGCCCAACGAUCACCCAAGAAAUGUAGGGUUAAUUGGAUCCUAGCUAUCAAAGAGAGAGAUAAGGAGUGAUUUCUGAAUUCUGACAGUGUGAACAUUCCUUUUGGACUGUCAAAAUUGGCUGCUAAAUGGCUGACAUUAGGAUAGAUCUUAGGAAACCAAACCUGACAUGUUGAUGCUGCUUAAUCUAUGCAAAAAGUUUUGGUUUGGUCUUUGUGAUCAUCUGUAUAUAUGUCGUAUGAUCACCAUGCAUGCAUCUAUCAUGAAUUCAGAGAGAGUUAUCUGCUUGAGCCACUAGUAGCUAGAUAGACAGGGAUUCCAGACUGAGGCCCAGCAACUAGUGUCUCUAUCAAAAUGGGUUGACCAUUUAUCUCGAAUAUGUUCUCUGAAUAAAGAUUAUCAUCAUGCAUGAAGAAAGAUGCUAUUUGGACGCAAAAACAUGAGCUUUCCUGCACUGCAAGCUGCCUAUAAAUAGCCCCUGAAGCAGGUUGUUUUGCCAUGAACCAGCAGGCAACUGCAAUGAGCUUAGCUAGCAAUUAGCCAUGCAUAUGCACAGAAAAAACACAGAAUUAAUGCAUGAGAAGAGGGGGGGGGGGGGAAGUUAAUUUCUGGAGAUGGAAGAGAGCAAGGCUUGCAUGGUGAUAAGGGUGUAGCUCUGGUAGCCAAGGAUGACUUGCCUGUGUCCUUGUGUAGAGGAUCAUUCAGAAAAUGAGCCUUGAACUGGUUCAUAGGCAGUCUCCUUGGCUAGUCUGAGUCGCUCUUAUCACUCAUGUUAGGCUUGCAUCUCGUUGAUCGAUAUGUAAUUAACUACGUUUUCUUCAGAAGGAAAAGUAAUUCUUGAUGCAUUUAUCAGUUCUUUGCAAAAUCUAUACAUGCAGAGAUACAGUUUGAUCAUCUUCAGGUUACAGUUACAGGGGAGCACUGCUGCAAAGUUAUUCAUAACAGUACAUAUAUAUAUAUGCGUGUGGUAUCUUUGCAUUAUAGGAUUGACCUGAUCUCACACUUAACUGCAUAUCAUGUUAUGUUUGCAACAGGUUCUAUUGGUAGAACAGAUAUGAAAACAGACCAGCUUGGCAAAGAACACAAAGAUCAAAUAUUUCAGAGAAUCGACGAACACAGGCGCGGACAAUUGCAAUGUGAAACCUGAUAAUUAGUUUUAAUUUUGCCAGCAAUGCGGAGCAUAUGCAAUUUGUAAAUUGAUGGCAAUGCAAGUCUGAACUUUUUUCAUGUAGUUGAUAUUUUUCUACUGUCUGUACUUGGAGCUGUUCAUGUUCAGUGUUUGUCGGACGUUCUUGAGAGCCUAGUUAUUUUUGUCAUUUUAAUCCUGUGCUAUUUAUGAUUUUUUUAACCCAUCUUGUUAAAUUAUGGCUAUAUCUGAAACUGUGAGUUAGUACUCCUAUCUCUGAAUUUUGUGCAGAAACAGAUUCAGAAAACAAUGAAAAGGAAGAGCUGCUAUAAAUUUCCCAUCGCCUUUCAAAUCACAGGAAUGUCAAACAUAUACAUGCAUGGCCAUUUUCUUGACACAUGCAUGCAUAAAAUGCAAAGUGAGAAAAAAGAAAGCAAGAAAAGGUUGAGCUAGAUGCCUAGAUUGGGACUGAAUGUCUGAACAUACCUUCAGGCUUCAGAGAAAUGAGACAAUGAUCAAUCAUCCCCACACACAUAGAUAUGCCAAAAUGGUUAAAGCUACUAGCUGUGUACGUGAACAUGCAUGAGAUGAUCCAGCUAUAGCCGCAAAGCUAAGCUAAAUAUAUACUUUCCAAAACAACAAAAGCUAGACAAGAUAGAGAGAUUCCCUUAGCCUAGCUGAUCACUAGCUAUCUGCCUUUUGUUCAGGGGCACACAUUGCAUGGUCGGCGCGGCGGCGCCGUCGCCGUCGCCGGAGCAAUGCAUGCACCGCCGCCUCGAUAGAUCAAUUGUGCCACGUAUGGUACGGCAUAUCGUCUUUUGCAGAUGCUGAAGAAAUAUGCUACUGAUCAGCUAGCUGGUGAUCAAAGUUCAGAGUUCUGACGAUCGGACGACUGAAUGUACACGCAUCUGAACUACUUUUCGUUUCUCUGUUGGUCUACAGGAUCAGUACUAGCUAGUGCGUAAUGCAUGUGUCGACAUAUAUACAUUUUUGUAAUCUGGGAAAACUCUUAUGUUUGAGCUGAAUAUCUGACAAAGUGUAAUUAAUACAAUAAUAUAUAGAUAUGUACUGUAACGUGGUUGUUUUUGGAACGAAGUUCUGAACAAAAUGUUUGAUGUUUUUCCAAUUUUGUACUGCUGCAUGCUCAUGUUUAGUUAUACUUCUAUUGAUCUAGUACUAAGUGCUAGCAUUUUCCUUGCAGAAAAGAAUUAUUACGAGCAUUAGCUAAUUAAAGCUAGCUAAACCGAUUUUAACUGCUCAUUCCCUUUUGCAACACAAAGUUACAAACCAGUUUAUUUUCUUUUUGUAAGCUUUUCACUUGAAAAAGGUAAACUAUAGAGGGAAAUCCCCCCUCAAAAAAAAAAAAAAAACUAUAGAGGAAAUCAAUAUGCACAUAUAUAGUGCACAUUAAGGCUGUAUAUUUCCCGUCCCUCAAACUAUUAUUUAAUUAGUUUAAUUUUUGUAUCUCAAUUGUACAGAUAAUAUCCAUUUUAUCUCUAAAUAUGGAUUAAACUCAUCCCUUUUUCUCUUGCAUGAAUUUAAUUUUGACCAUUGUUGGUAGUGGGGCUCACUUGUCAUAGGGAGGGGUUUCACGUACCAAAAGUGGCAAGGCAUGGUUUGUUGCUAAAAAAUGGGAAAGGAAUAGGAUGUAUAUGCUUGAUAACAAAUCCGGCCCAGGUGGGGUUGGCCGAGGCCCAACAAAUUAAGGUUGUCCGGACCCCAACAGUUCUUAAGCACACCCACUAGCGGAGAGGCCCAAUCUCCCUAAAAGACUAGUCCAAUAGGGGAAGGGUGGCUCUCUCAUUAAGGUGGCUUCCUCCUCCUAAGCUAAGUAAGGUGGGAUUAUUCAGAGGCUCACACGGUCGCCGUCCGACUUUGGCGUCUUUGCCAGCGGGUAAUAGUGGAGGAUGUCCUCAUCUGAAACCCCGCGGGUUGCUGCGAGCACUUGUAGGUAACAAUCAGGAUGAAACGUUUUUUAAACAAAUAAGUAAGCAUAACAACCAAUAACUACAUUUAGUGGGUACAACAUAAGUUAGAGUGGAGAUUAAUUUAGUAGUUAAUAGAGAAUAAUAAUUGUACACAAUAUAAACGGUUGAGAUCAAGCAUGGAAGAGAUCUAAAACGGCUCAUCUUACGGCUUCACGCAUGUAGAGCUUGUAGUUGUAACUUUAUAUAUAGAAAGAAAGGAUGUAAGAAAACGUUCAAGGGAGGAGAAGACUCUACUUUCUUUAGCCAAUCCUGAUCUAAGCGCAUAUAUAUAUACGCAACAUAACCCUAGAAAAAAGACCCACAUAUGAAGAUCAUAACAAAAUAGAACAGAAUAAAAUCAUUGUCAUCAUACAUAUAUACUGUACAAAAGAUCAUAUAUACUGUUCGAGUAUCUACAUCAAAAGCUAGGGCCAGGCCGGAUUGAUAUAUUAUUGGAUCCAAUUCUACCACAAUAUCAGCUAAUUAUUACUUCUAUUAAUCAUAUUGUUUACUAAUACUUCUAUUAAUCAUAUUGCAUGGUUUAUCAAAAAUGGGGAAGGAAUAGGAGGCAUAGAUAAGAAUACGCUGAAGGAAGGAGAAAACUUUGCUUUCUUUUGCCAAUCCUGAUCGAAGAGCAUAUACGCAACAUAAACCGGAAAAAAAAAGACCCAUGCAUGUAUGCAGAUCAGAACAAAAUAGAAAAAACAUAAAAUCAAUGUCAUCAUACAUGAUCAUAUUGUUCGAGUAUCUCCAGGUCAAAAGCUAUGGGCGGCCAGGGUAGAUAUAUAUAUCACUGGAUCCAAUUCCAAGACAAUACCAGCUAAUUAGUUAUGCAAUUUUAAUUUGACGCGUCUGGGUAACUAGCCAUCCAUAUAGAUUUCUAUUAAUUAGUUAUAGCGAUUUUGCUAUAUCUCACACGAAAGAUUUUUUCUUAUCUCUCACUCGAUUUUCUCACUCAAAUUUACAGUGCAUUUUCUUGUAAGUUACAGUGUAAUUUAUGAAACUUACACUGUAACUUUUGUAAGUUACACUGUAAUUUUUGAAUCUUCGCAUGUAAAUUUUAAAUUUUGUAUUGGAUUUGGUCUUUUUCUUGAGGAUAUGGUAAUUUAGUGUCCAUUAUGGUGUUUCUUAAUUGCUUUUUGCUUUUUAUUAUAUCUAUCGGAUUUUAAUACAAAGAUUAAAAAUCUGUGUGAUACGAUUAUAAAAAUCUUUCGAAAGAUGUAUAGGUACUCCCUUCCAGCAUAAAAUCUUCUUCUAAAGGGGGUCAAUGCAAAGCUCCGAUUUCCCAAGAUGGAAGGAAGCUGUCAUCCACUGCUUUCUGAGAAGAGAAGAUGAAUAUUUUUUCUUUUUCUUUUCUUUUAAAAAAAUAGAAAAUGAAUAUAUAAAUUAAUCAUCCAUGCAUUCUAUUGCUAAGCCAGUAAUAUGCGCUAGCUGCAUACAUAUGCAGAUAUGCAUGCAUGUAUGUUGAAAUUGGCAAAAGAAUAUAUUCUGCAUGAACAAUAUGAUGAGGGAUAUUCUUGAUAUGUUUUUAAUUAUAUGGACCUUUAGAAUAAAAUUAGGUCACAGUUGCUUUUCACUGCACUAUAAAUAGGUCCUGGUGGAUGGAAGCAUGCAUAGCAAACAGGCACAAGAUCAAGCUAAGCUAGCUAGAGUCAUCCAUGGUCCUGAAGAGUUGCAGAGAGUAGAGAUAUAUCUAAAGCUAUAUAUGUACACUAUUUUUGUACUAAGAGAGCAAGGCUUACAUGGAGACAAGGGUUUAGCUCUGGUAGCCAAGGAUGACUUGCCUGUGUCCUUGUGUGUAAGGAUCAUUAAUUAUUAUUCAGAAAAUGAUCCUUUCAGCAGGUUUCAUGGGCAGUCUCCUUGGCUAGCCUGAGUGAUUCUUGUCACUUAUGCUAGGCUUGCAUCUCUCCUUCAUCUGUAUCUAUGCCGAUCUGUUCUGAAGAAUCAAUGCAUGCUGGUGCGGCUAAUUAAGGUACAGGUGAUAAUUAAUCAAAUUAAUGAUAUCAUAUAUAUAUAUGCAGAUUAUAUUAUUUAAUAUGCAGGUCGAGCGAUCUUGUGUUGUACUUUGAUGCUGCUUCUUUCUACCCAUCACAUAGGCAGAAUUAAUCCCUUAUAUUUAGGAAUUAAUGGAUGUAGUAUUUUGGAUCCAUCAUCCAUGAUGAUCCAAUGUAAAUAUGUAAUCAUAUAUAUGUGUGUAUGUGUAUGUAUCUCUAUACGAUACAUAUAUAGUUUUCUUUUUUACUUUAUUUUGGUCCUGAUGAGAGGGGCAGCUAGCUAGCUCAUCAAGUGGCGCUUAACUAUGUUUAUUCAUGAAGAGAUAUGUUAUAAUGGUUUCUAUUGGUAGUGGAAUUAUUAAUUCUGUUGGACAGAAUACAGGAACGAGGUCUUAAUUAUUUUGCAGUGGAUCGGAAUCGGAUGGCUGCAAGAACACGACGUACAAAUAUUGGGCAUAACUAGCUAGGUUGCCACUAUAUGUUUUUUUGUAUGUAAUAAUGUGUUAAUGUUUGUAGCUACUAGCUCGUCGUUCUUUCUGACUUUAUUAUUGUUUUUAUUUUUCUAAGUGAAAAGGGUGUCUUGUAAUAACAUUUUGUUUGUAGCUUAGCUAUAUCUUUUGUGCAACAAGAUCAUUGUACACUUUCUACUAAUAUAGUAGAACUUAAUUCAUUCUUGCUUCUUGUAAUUGCAUUUUCAAGUGAAGUACUGUGUAUCAUGGUAACAUGAUUAUAUUCAUGCAUGAAGUACGAAUUCGAUCACAAACAUAUUCAUGAGUCAAUUUAAAUAUGGACCGCGACUAACCUCUCUUUAUAGACAUAUAACACACAAUACCUAGCAACUUCUUCAUCAUUGCAAUAAUUAAUUGAUAAGUGUUUCCUCGGUUCUUGUGUAAUUCACAUUAGAAUACAUGCAAUCAUGCAAGCUAUUGGAGGUAUUACUGCCUUAAUGUUUAAAUUUAUGAUAUUAUUAGCUUUAUUCAGUCUUUGUGAGCAACUUUGGCCAUCUAGUUU